Molecule: long non-coding RNA, 59651 nt
Filed under: Phoenix dactylifera (date palm)
Lineage: Eukaryota; Viridiplantae; Streptophyta; Magnoliopsida; Arecales; Arecaceae
Description: long non-coding RNA (PDAC_LNC001491)
Source: RNAcentral
GUUUGAGGUGUGGAUGUGGUUUGCCUCCGCCGGUAAUUGCGUUCACGGCUGGCCAUCUGGGUAUCUAAUGAUUCCACCUGAAUUGUUGCAGUGUUUCUACGCACGCACCGGCAAAGUCCGUGGUGUGGGACUAAAGAUGGCAAAACAAAAGAUAGGUGGUAAUUGCUUUCCUAUUUUUAACAAGAAGCUGGACCGCCAGCCACUUUCCACCACCAAUUUGUUUUGCUAUAAACAUACCUGGUCUUCCUCCCAUGCCAUCUGAACCUCGUCCAUUUCACAGCAUUGUUGUCUGCGGAGGGAGGCAUCGUUGCUUCGAAGCCUCCUUCCGCGCAACUCCGGCUCCGGUCAAUCAUGGCACUGCCAUACACCACCCUUGCUCUUAUCUUCCUCGCCAUCGUCGCCACGGCCCUCAGUAGGGCUACCUUCGCCGAGGCCAAUGGGGAAGUAAGCAAGAAACAUGAUGCCAAUGCCAAUGCCAAUGCCACUGCUCCUGCAAAUCCAGCUCCAGCAGGUCAUCAUGUCGAGGCCUCCGGAAAUCAAGCGGCCAAUGGCGUUAAUGUCGGUGCUCCGGCAGGCUCCGUCAUCAAAGGCCAUCAUCCGCCAGGCAAAGGCCAUCACAAGAAGGGCGGCCAUCGCAAGAAAGGUGGCCACCGCAAGAAGGACGGCUAUCCUGCUGGUGCCCCUGCAGAUGCUCCUGCAAGUCCGGUGAGCGCGGCUCAGCCUGCCAGCGCUCCUGCAAGUCCAGUGACCGCACGUCAACCUGCCCAAGCCCCUGCAGCACCUCCUUCGACUGCAACUCCUCCUACCGGUGGUCGCGUUCAGAUACCGCCGGAGCUGAAGAAUCUACUGCCUAGCCUCCCACCAAGCGCCGAGCCUCAAGAGAUUAAGGAGCUCAUAAGCAAGGCCACCGGAGUGGAUCCAUCUAAAAUCCCAGAAAUCACUGAUCCUAAACAGAUCGAGGAUAUCAUAACCCAGGCCGCUGGGGUGAAGCCAUCUGAUGCUUUGGCUGCCUUUCAAGAGUCUGGUGGUCUGGAAGCCAUACUAACAACUGGGGCACUUUCACCGAGCCGUAAUGCUGAAGUAGCAGGAACCCCUUCCUCCACCAAAGAAGCAAGUGGUGCCUUCACCAUCGGAGCAACCCCCAUGGCUAUUGCCUUAAUGGCCGCAGUGGCUGCUGGGAGCUUCAUCUUCUGAGCGAGUUGUAAUUAGAAGAUGCUCGCUCUCCCUGCCUCCCUCCCUCUCUCUCUCUCUCUCUCCUUACAUGUUGCAACUGCAACUUAUCUAGAGCAUCAUUCACAUUAUGCACUUUUAUUGUCUAGAUACUGACAAUGACGUGAUAGAGGAGGGCAGGUUUCUUCCGAUAUCAAGCUUGAUUAAUCUUGGAGGUUAAAAAAGUCGGGAGCCAUUCUGCAUUUGAAUCCAAAUGAGAUCCCAAGAAUGUGUUGGUCCUUUAUCCUACCUGCUUAUGGCACCCUUUUUGUGUAACAUUCAUCAGAUGCUCGGACCAAAAAAAGGCCUUGGCCGAAGUUGUAACAACGGAUUUCAUGGAGAAUGUGAAAAGUUUUGCUUUCGAGUUCUGGAUUGGCUGGUCAUGUUUGUUAUAAGUACUUCUCUUUUCAAUAUUUAUGAAAAUAUUCUACAUGGUUAUUAAUUAUUGUUGAAGUUCCAAUUUGCUUUUCAAUAGAUGAACCCUUUUUGUGUUCUUAUUUUUUAACGUUAUUAUUAGAGUCGCAUAUCAGUCCUUUAACUUAUUUUUAAAGAUUUUUUGUGUUUUGUUAACAUGCUCCUGUCAAUUUUAAGUUAGCCAAUUGUGAAUUCGGAUUUAUCUCUCGUCACAUUUCCCUGCUUACUACCCAAAGAUUUUUUUUUCCCUUUUCUGAUGUAUGGGAGGCAAAAGCUGCCUGAAUUUAUUAAAAAAUAAUAAAAUAGUCGAAGACGUCAAUAAGAAUUAUAGAGGGAAUACAAGGACAGGAGAAAAGAGAAAGCAAAAAAUGGUCAAAAAAACAGGUAGGCUUAAAAUGGAGCCGACCACCGGUUGCACACCGUUCACAAUCCAUCUGCUUGCAAUAGAUUGUCCAACCAUUAAGUAAUUUGAUUAAGGCAGCAAGCAAUUGAUGAACUGAUGAUGCUUUGUUAAGUAACAUAAUGGAGUUCCUCCAUUUAUAACAAACUGAUGGGGAGAAAAGUGGACCACCCCACAAAAUACAAUUAAAGCACCUAAAUAUUACAAUAGGCGUAAUCCCAAUAAGCAUGGUAUCAACAAGCACGAUAUCAACAAGCACGACUUCGGCAGGCACGACCUCGGCAAGCAUGACCUCGGCAGGAACAACCUCGGCAUGCAUGGUCUUGGCUAAGCAAAGCCCGAUUGACCUCGGGCCAUCCCCGACUCCACCAACAAUCAAGCCAGUCCGCCUAAAAAAAGGACCAUCAAAUCCUCCAUAUCCGGGAUCAAAUCCGCAAUCUCCGCCACAAUGGCUGUCAAUAUUUGAAUCCACGCAAUCUCAACCGAUCGCCAGCUAGCCUGAAAUCUCGGCCAUCAAAGGUAACUAAUUUAAACCCAUAUUUACACAAUCACACUCGAUUGUGUGUAACCGUUACACCCCCUCCUAUAAAAAGGGGGAAACUUUAGGGUGAUCAUCUUCUCCCCGGGCCAAAAAACACCUCUCCAUUAUCUCCUUUAUCUCCAAACCCUCUCUGACUUAAGCAUCGGAGGGCCUUCGCCGGAACCUUCGGCCAAAGGCUUUUUACAGGUCCGCCGGAGACAGCUGUCCGCUACUGCACUGCAGCAGAAGCUCCUCCUCCUCGGCUCGCGAUCACCUCCGGGUCUAUUUUCCAGCAACAGUUGGCGCUAGAGGAAGGGCCUGAGUCAUGAUCAUGAGACUAAGGAGCAGAGGGGCUACAAUGCCUCCAGGCAUCGCGCACCAAGCCUUGGACGCUCGAUCCAGAAUCCACCACCAAGACCUCCGGCAGAUCAAGUUCCGCAAAUCAAAUCUGAAUAGUUCGAUGUGCUGGUGCAGCAAGUCCAAGCGCUAGCUACUACAGUCCAAAGUCUACCACAAGUGGGGGGCCCUCUUGUGCCGCCUCCACGAGCUCACAUCUGAUCGGCGCUCCCUCCAGAUGGGCCUGUGUCCCUAGGCCAUGAUCCCCAUGGUUUUUCAAGGAUCAAUAAUGGAAAAAAAAGGCGCUGUCACCAGGGUUCUUCCGAGCAUCCCCCCGGGGGGAGCUGCCGAAGAGUCGCCAGGACAGGAGGGCGCAACCUUCUGAAGCUGGAUCGAUCCCGGGUCAGUCAGUACCGGGACGGACCACCACGACAACUUUCCAAGGUGGAGAACUCGACAAGAAGGUCGAAGAGCUCGAACGGCAAAUCGAGGCGCUCCGGGAUCAAAGAGUAAGGCGUGAGGGCAACCCUGAUUUUACCACCAAGUCGUCUUUCGCCUGCUUGAUCGAGGACAAGCCAAUCCCACUGAGAUUCAAGAUGCCCCAGAUAGAGCCAUACAACGGGGCAACCAAUCCACUGGAUCAUCUAGAGAGUUACAGAGCCCUCAUGGCACUGUAAGGAUCCUUGGAGGCUCUACUAUGCAAGGCCUUCCCCACAACCCUCCAAGAAACGGCCUGACUUUGGUUCUCCGAGCUAAAGCCAAGCACCGUGUUCUCUUUUGAGCAGCUCGGCGGGCAAUUUAUAGCCAAUUUUGCCACCAGCCAGCACUAGCGGCGAACAUUAGAUUCUUUUCUCGACAUCAAGCAAAAGGAAGAAGAAUCCUUGAAAGACUACAUCGAUCGCUUCACCGCCGCCACUUAGGAGGUCCGCAAGCUCGAUCAAUCAAUCGUCAUGUCGGUAUUAAAGAUAGAAGUUCGGUCCUAUAAGUUUCUCUUCUCUAUUGAGACGAAUUUUUUUUACCGACUUUACAGAUAUGCUGGCCCAAGGUCGAAAAUACGCAAAGGCUGAAGAGGCCAUGGCUGCUCGGCGAGACGCUGCUGAACGACCCUCAAAGGGCCAGAAGAGGCAUCCCGAGGAACGCAGCCGCCCAAGAAAUCGCUCACCUCGUCGCGAGAAGAACUUGCCUCGAUUGAGGAGCCCGUCUCGUCCGAGGCUGCGGCCCUGACCAAGAUCACCGCCUCGGUAGAGAACACCACCAGGAAGGUACAGGACUAUACUUUCUCCACCACUACUCGGUCCAAGAUUCUCAUAGAGAUAGAAGGUCGAGGCUAUCUCUGAACUCCACCACUAAUGCGAGGGUCGGAAGCUCGGCAACACUUUAGGAGGUACUACCACUUCCAUCGAGAUCACGACCACGACAUAGAGGAGUGCUUCCAACUCCGAGACGAGAUUAAGCGCUUAUCCAUCGUGGGAUACUCAACCGGUUCGUACAGAACUGGCAUGAUGAAGGAGCACCAGUGGAGAACGCCGCGCCACCUGAAGAUCAAAACAAUAGCAGACCCAUUGCCGGCACCAUCAACGCUAUAGAAUGAGGCCCUGCCGAAGAAAGCUCGGCUAAAGAACCUGCUAGGAAAGAAGCCCUCCUGAAGCAUCAACGCACAACAGAAGCCAUCUUAUUCUCGGAUGAAGAUUUAAAAGGAGUCGAAACUUCUCAUGAUGAUGUUGUGGUCAUCUCCCUUAUCAUGAAUAAGUUUGUUGUAAAACGUGUUCUGGUUGAUAAUCGAAGCUCUGCAAACGUAUUAUUCUACGAUACUUUCCAAAAAAUAAGAAUGACUAAGGACCAGCUUCGGAGAAUGAAUGUUCCAUUGGUCGGAUUCACUGGGAAUUUAGUCCCAGUCAAAGGAGUAGUCAGCCUACCCAUCACGGUCGGGCUCGCCCCUAGAGAGAGUACCGUGAAGAUGGACUUCCUAGUGGUCCGUAUGGCCUCGGUCUACAAUGUUAUUCUCAGCCGACCUGGGCUCAACGCCUUCUGGGCCAUAGUCUCAACCUACCACCUGCUCAUGCGGUUCCCCACCAAACGAGGGGUUGGCGAAGUUCAAGGGGACCAAGCAAUGCUACAUAGCGACCCUCAAAGCAAAACAACCAGCUGAAACGUCAGCCCAAGUUCCGCCCUUUGCACUACUUAUCAAGACCCUGGAAGUGCGGGACGAGCCCAAGAAGCAACGAGCAGAGCCCGGGGAGCUCCUACUUCAAAUCUCCUUUAGAGAUGACCGCCCGAAUUAGACUGUACAGAUCGGUUCCUGCCUAAGCCCUCGUGAAUGAGACCGCAUGAUCGAAUUUCUCCAAGCCAACACCGACGUUUUCGCCUGGUUGCCUACUGAUAUGCCAGGGAUAGAUCCUAAAGUUAUGGUUCACCGACUCCAGGUGAACCCAACUUACAAGCUCGUCAGGCAGAAAAAAUGGAGCUUCGCACCAAAACGACAGCAAGCGGCGACCGAGGAGGUGGACAAACUCCUCGAUGCUGGCUUUAUUAGAGAGGUCACCUAUCCGGACUAGCUCACCAACAUGAUCUUUGUGAAGAAAGCUAACGAAAAAUGGCGCAUAUGUGUGGACUACACCGACCUGAACAAGGCAUGCUCGAAAGACAGCUUUCCAUUCUCCAGGAUCAACCAGCUCGUUGAUUCUACCUCGGGACACCAACUGCUGACCUUCAUGGAUGCCUUCUUGAGGUACAAUCAGAUCCGGAUUGUGCCCAAAGAUGAGAAAAAUACAGCCUUUGUCACUGACAAAGAUCUCUAUUGCUACAAGUGAUGCCAUUCGGGUUGAAGAACGCUGGGGCAACUUACCAAAUGCUGGUCAACAAAGUCUUCAAGAAUCAGAUAGGCCGGAAUAUGGAGGUCUAUGUGGACGACAUGUUGGUAAAAAGUCAGAUGGCCGAACAUCACAUAGCUGACCUCUACGAAGCAUUCUCCACUCUCAGAAAGUAUCAGAUGAAGCUCAACCCCAUGAAAUGUGCCUUUGGAGUCAUCUCGGGCAAGUUCCUCGAUUUCGUGGUAACUCAAUGCAGAAUCGAAGCAAACCUAGAAAAGAUCCGAUCACCGCAGGAGAUGGCACCACCAAGGAUGGUGAAAGAAGUACAACGGCUCACUGGACGAGUUGCGACCUUGGGAAGGUUUGUCUCGAGGUCGACAGAGUGAUGCCUCCCAUUCUUCAAGAUUCUCAAACGGCCAAAAAACUUCGCUUAGACUAAAGAGUGCCAGCAAGCCUUCGAAGAACUCAAGUCUCAUCUCGCCUCUCCUCUAUUGCUCACAAAAUCUUAGCAGGGCGAGCUUGUCUACCUGUACCUUGCUGUGUCCCCCGUAGCAAUGAGCUCGGUCCUAGUUCGGGAAGAAGACAAGUCCCAGAAAUCGAUAUACUACACCAGUCAAAUCCUGCGGGAUGCAGAGACCCGAUACUCCAAAUUGGAGAAAACAGUCUACGCCCUACUCAUCUUGGCCCGAAGGCUCUGAUCAUAUUUUCAGGCUCAUACCGUGGCCGUAUUAACUGAUCAGCCCAUAAAAUAAGUUCUACAAUGAUCGAAUCGUGCGGGAAGAAUCGUAAGAUGGGCAGUCGAGCUCGAAAAAUUCGACCUCGAAUACCACCUGAGGCCAGCAAUCAAAGCACAAGUGCUUGCGGACUUCAUAGAGGAAUGCACCCUACAAGAUGACCCCAGACCGAGCUCACACCGAAGGAAGACACCUCAGAGCGGCUAUGGGUCCUACAUGUGGACGGUUCCUCAAUCUCGGAAGGUAGUGGGGCAGGCCUCAUUCUCACCAGUCCGAAUGGAGUGGUCACGGAGCAAGCCUUACGCCUCGAGUUUCCGACCUCGAACAAUGAAGCGGAGUACGAGGUGCUCAUUACCGGACUGAAAUUAGCGAAAGAGCUCGAGGUCGGCAGCCUAAAAGUCUUCAGUGAUUUCCAACUGGUCGUGAGCCAAAUCUUACGAGACUACGAAGCAAGGAAGCCAUCAAUGCAAAAGUAUCUACAGAAGGUGCAGGAUAUCACCUCCACGCUAAAUAUUUUCGACAUUCAGCACAUUUUCAGAACAGAGAAUGCGAGGGCUGACCUGCUAUCAAAGCUAGCAACCUCCCACAUGAGAGCUCUCGAGGACUACAAUACUCGAGUAUCUUCAAACACCAAGCAUUGAGGAGCCCGAGUCCGUCCUCUGCAUCGAGACUGAACCGAGUUGGAUAGAUCCGCUUGUCAACUUCCUACAGAAUGAAGUUCUUCCCAAUGAUGAGCUCGAGGCCCGCCGAGUCAAGCGCCAAGCUUUCCGAUACCUCCUAUAUGAAGGCAAGUUCUACCGCAUGUCCUUCACGUCUCCUCUUCUUAGAUGCCUCCGCCCCUCGAAGGUGAAUUAUGUCAUGCGAGAAGUUCAUGAGGAGAUUUGCGGGAACCACCAAGAAGUCGAGCCUUGGCCUACAACAUUCUAUGCUAGGGAUACUACUAGCCUACACUUCAAAAAGACACCGCAAGCUUUGUUCAAAGGUGUGACCGAUGCCAGAAGAAUGCUAACAUUCAGCGCCGACCCUCAGUCCACUGACCUCGAUCAGUGCCCCCUGACCAUUUGCCCAAUGGAGGAUCGACAUCUUGGGACCAUUCCCCCAAGCUACCGAACAAAGGAAGUUUCUCAUCAUCUCCAUCAAUUAUUUCACUAAGUGGGUUUGGGCGCCCCUGCGUUCUUAUAUCCGACAACGACCGUCAGUUCGACAAUGCCCGCUUCAGAAAAUUUUGCUCCAAGCUCAGCAUCGACCAUCAUUUCACCUCGGUCGUUCAUCCCCAGACUAAUGGAGAAACAGAGGUAACAAAUCGAACAAUCCUUCAAGGACUUAAAGCCAGACUCGACUGAUCUAAAGGGAAAUGGGUCGAAGACCUUUACAAUGUCCUCUAGGCUUACAAAACCACAUUCUGAAUCCCUACUGGUGAAACUCCAUUCAAUCUAGCCUAUGGAACAGAAGCAGUCAUCCCCUUGGAGAUAGGGCUUCCAUCACGAAGGGUGAAGACCUACGAUGCAGCUUCGAAUUCACCGUGACUCAGAAACAACCUAGAUCUCCUCGAAGAAACAAGGUAAGCCGCUCGAAUCCGCACGGCGAGAUAUUACAACUUUAGAGUGAAGAUCAGGCUCUUCAAAGUGGGUGAUCUCGUCCUGAGAAAAGCCGAAGCCUCUCGACCUACGGAGCAAGGGAACCUUGCCCCAAAUUGGGAAGGACCGUAUCGAGUCGCUCGAAUCCAACGGCCCGGAGUAUACAAUUUGGAGUCCCUCGAUGGAACCCUCAUUCCCCGAAGUUGGCACUUUGAGAACCUCAGGAUGUAUUAUCAAUAAAGCUCAUUUAAGGGUCUCCAAUGUUUGAAAAUCUAGCCAAUAAGGCAUUCAUCAAAGAUUUCUCCUAACCAUUCGAAGCUUAUUCUAAUGAUGAUCUGCUUGUGAAUCUCAGGAUGUCCUUGAAAUGUCUCGAGUCAGAUCCAACAAUGCCCAACCAAGCUUGGGAUGCCCCGCUGCGUUGACCGCGAGCCAAGUUUUCCUCGACCUCGGGCACUACCUAAUGACGUCCCGACCAAGCUCAGGAGGCCCCGCUAAGUCGACCGCGAGCCAAGUCUUCCUCGACCUCAGGUACUACCUAAUGAUGUCCUGACCAAGCUCGGGACGCCUCGCUGAGUCGACCGCGAGCCAAGUCUUCCUCGACCUCAGGUACUACCUAAUGACGUCCUGACCAAGCUCGGGACGCCUCGCUGAGUCGACCGCAAGCCAAGCCUCCCUCGACCUCAGGUACUACCUAAUGACGUCCCAAGCAAGCUCGGGACGCUUCGCUGCGUCGACCGCGAGCUAAGUCUCCCUCGACCUUGGGUACUACCUAAUGACGUCCCGACCAAGCUCGGGAUGCCCCGCAGCGUCGACCGCAAGCCAAGUCUCCCUCGAUCUCGGGUACUACCUAAUGACAAUCCGACCAAGCUCGGGAUGCCCUGCUGCGUCGACCGCAAGCCAAAGCUCCCUCGAUCUCGGGUACUACUAAAUGGAAAUCUGACUACAGUUCGAGAUGUCUAAGGCAGACAGUACGGAUCGAAGGGAACUCAAGCCUAUAAACGUUUAUGGUUCCAACAGCCGAAUAGCAGCCCAACCUCGACCCGCACUACAACUAGAUUCGAGCCCGAAGACUUAGUUAAAUUCUUCAAAAAAAUGUCGGAAUCACAUUCAAAACCAGACGACACGUGAAGUCCUGCCCAAACAAUCGAAGACAAGGGAUUCAUCGAAAACAAGUAGAGACAAGUUUAAAGAUAUGAGAGAAUUGAAGAAAAUGUAUGUUUUAUUGAUGAAGAGCCUUGAGACUUAAUACAAAGACACUGACUCUGAAGUCGGACCGCUUAGCCGAACAAUGAAUCUAGUGGCUGACCUCAUUUACAAGCAACAACAAAAAUGAAAAAGAGAGCAGCAAAAUUUCAGGUCGCCCCAAAAGUGGUGGCCUCGACGUCGACCUCCUCGUUUGCUGGAGGAACCUCGGGAGCCGCUUCGGAGGCACACUCUGGUGCCACCUCAGGUGGAAUCUCGCGGGCAGCCUUCGGAGCCAUCUCGGCUUCGACCUCAGGAGCCGCCUCGGUCUCGGCCUUGACGUUUACAAGGGUGGGACUCUCAGGAGCGCUGUCAUAAUCAACAACAUCGUCUGCAUUGUCCUCAGCGGCCCCAAAAAGAUGAGGUCGAAGAUUGUUGAAGUCGAGCUUGGGGCAAAGCCUCAACACCUGGGCCCGAAAGUUCUCGAAGCCGCGGAUGAGUCCAUCAACCACCUCUUCCUCGAGCUCCUCUCCAUACUCGACCGACUUGCGAAAAAUUUGCACCGCAAUCCGAGCUUCCUCCACUACCUUCUUCGCUCGAGCUUCAAGCUGCUCGAUCUUCAGGCGGAGGAUCCCCACCUCGUAUUUUUUCCCCGCGAGCUCAGACUGGGCGUCGGCCAAGCGCGCCUCGGCAGCACGAAGAGUCGACCUGGUAAGGGCGUGCGAGGCUUCCUCCUCCUCGAGGCACUCAACCUUGAGCUUGAGCUCGGACUCGAAGGCCUCCGCCCUCGUGGUGGAUUCCUUCCACUUGGCCUCGCCCUCGGCGAGCUUCUUCUCUGCGACCUCCCAUCCUCUCUAGCUCCUCUGGGCCUGGUUUUGGUAGUCAACCACCGCGGAGGCUAACAUAUCAAUCUCGUGGAGGUGCUGUAAGGAAGAGAAAUAAAGGUUAGCCGAGAUUGAGAACUUAGAAGAAUAUAAAAAUGAAAGCAUGAGAAAACCUUACCCGGACAACGGAACAAUAGGCUUGUUCAAUAAAACUAUCGAUCUCGCCCACUUCGAGCUCGGCUCGGUCAGUUGGACGCUGCACAUAGUGGAUGACCUCGCGGGCAACGUCACUGUUAUGGAGGGCCGAAUUGUCCUCAAAGACCAGCCAAGUGGAGGAGUAGGGCCUCCUCCUGGGGCGAUCCUCAACCCCUGAAGAGCUCGCGAUGUUGAGCCUUGAAGAGCUCGAUAGAGGAGCAUGGGAAGAACUCGAGACCCCGAUAUCGCUGCCCGGCACGGGUCCCGAGCGCCGUAAACGGAUGACCUUGCAGACUUUAGAAGGGCCCAAGGACGGGCAAGUGCAGGUCCUUGGUUCCUCUACGGCCUUGGAGGGGGUUGCGCGCUCGACGGGAGUUGCGCGCUCCGCAGGAGUUGCCCCUUCCGAUCUAGGCUCCCCUACUUUUUUUUGCUGUCUCUUCCGAACGAGCUGGGAGGUGUCGGCCUUAAGAUCUUCAACCUCCACCAGAGCAGAGGUCGAGGCUGGCCUAGGCCUCUUCUUAGGCAUGGGGCGAGCUCCGCCGACUUCGGCUGCCCUCUUAUUGUACCUGGCGAGAAGGACCUCGUUGUUGGACAUUAUCCCUGCGGUCUCUGAAAAAUAAAAAAUUUCAAGUCUCAGACUAGCUUCAAAAAGAGAAAAAGAAAGUAUAAAAUAGNNNNNNNNNNNNNNNNNNNNAUAUUCUUGGAGUUGUAUGAACUUAUUGUUUUUAAUGAAUAUUUUAUUUCAUCUUAUGUUUAAUUCCUGUGAUUUUAAAUAUGAAGUUUAUACAACUGUUCUUCAUGAUCGCUAAGUAAAUAUAAGAUAGUCCAUGCUUAGGAAAGAUGCGAUGUGCUGCCACCUUAGAUUAGGGUAGACAUUUCAUGCCAACUGAAGAUGGAUUAUGCCUAAAUUACUUUUGUGAAUCUCUAUUUAAAUGCUUAUUAGACUUGUAGCCAAUUUACAUGUUAAUCCAAAAAUAAAUUAAAAUACAAAUAACCCUGGUUCCGAUGUUAGUGGUGAAUUCCUUGCCCUAGGUUCCCUCAAACUGAUAUCAUUAUCAAUUGCAUUUUUAUUAAAUCCUUAGUUUAAUUUUCCUCACAAACUCUUCCUUUUAAAUAUUUUUAUUUUUUUAAAGAAAAGCAACUGUACCCCAAUCCCUGUGGAUUGAUAUCCGUAAUCACUAUCCUACCAGAUACGUGCUAUUGCGUGGUCUUUAAAUUUGACUAUCACAACUUCUCCUUCCACCCAUGAAUGGAGGAAGGAGCACCUCAGAAGAAUGGCCAACCUCCCCGAAUGGCAAAGUACAGCCAUCCUCCAUUUGUAGGAUUCGAUUUCAGCAUGAAUCACCCGCGGAAGACAUUAACCAAGGUCGGUAUUCUAUGAGCCAGGCAGAGGAACAAGAAGCCGAUAACCGUCCUCCACGAGUUUGGAGCGAGCUACGCUGGGAUGAGAUGAUACAUCGUCAGGAGCUCAUUCACAAACUCGUGCUGGGGGCAUCUCAGACCGGCCCGAAGUAUCUCCCAGUACACUCUAAUCUGACCUGGGGGGUCUCAUGACACGGUCCUCUAGCCCCGCGAGCUCGAAAGCGAACUCACGAUGAAAGGAGAACUGGGUUCGAAUCGUGCCUAGUUCUUCCUCAGUCAGGUUCAACCCGACUCCGUCUGGCCGUGGCCCACCUCCGGUUCGACCUCCUUCUUACCGGAAGGAGCUCCAGCAGAAGAUGAAGUGCCACCCGACAUUUGUCCAGCUCACGAAUUUAACAAAAAAAAAGAGGAAGGAGGAUGAAGAAAAAAAAGCAAGCCUCCGAGCAAGCGUGAGUGGGAGACCUACUGUGGUCCUCGCCGAAAGCACCGACGGCUAGAAAUGGGAAAUCAAGAAGAACCUCCAGAAAAUACUCAGAGGCACCUUCGGGGAAGACAAGACAACAGUCGGAGGAAAGUAAAAUGGAGAAAGAAGAAGGCAAAGACUAUGGCGGACAAAUGAAGGUUCUUAGGGCUGGGCUGGUGUUUAUAUAAACCCUCCCAACAGAUUGGAUCGACAAGAACAAGCCGUGCCUCCCGUCCAGAUCAUGCCAUGUGCUAGCCUCGAAGAUCGGCCCAGCGUAUCAACCUGGAUCGCCGCAUUAAAAGCGGAAUGGAGCAGCCGUCUCAUCGAAUACUGGAGUCCCAUUAUGAAGUCGCAGCACAAAUCAUCUUGAAAAACAGAAAGUUGCCGCCUUGCGCCUUCAUUAAAAACAUCCAAAAGCGCAUUUUCCCCUCCUUUUGAAACGACAUAAUGAUUGGAGGCCGCCUAAUCUCAUCAGCAUGACAGAAUUAGCUACUUCCUUCGUCCGAGCUCGAAAAUGGCUCGAACUUGAAAGUCGAGGGUAGUGAUGGGGAAAAAGUGGACCACCCCACAAAAUAUAAUUAAAAAACCUGAAUCCUAUGACAGGCAUAAUCCCAACAAGCAUGGCAUCAACAAGCACGACCUCAAUAAGCAUGACAUCAGCAAGCACGACCUCGACAAACACAACCUCGGCAGGCAUGACCUCGGCAGGCACGACCUCGGCAGGAACGACCUCGGCACGCAUGGUCUCGGCUGAGCAAAGCCCGAUUGACCUCAGGCCGACCCCGACUCCACCAACAAUCAAGCGGUCCGCCUAAGAAAAGGACCAUCAAAUCCUCCAUAUCUGAGAUCAAAUCUCGCAAUCUCCGCCACAACGAUUGUCAAUAUUUGAAUCCACGCAAUCUCAACCGAUCGCCAGCUAGCCCAAAAUCUCGGGCCAUCUAAAGUAACUCAUUUAAACCCAAAUUUAUGCAAUCACGCCUGAUUGUGUGUAACUGCUACACCCCCUCCUAUAAAAAAGGAAGGAACUCUAGGGAGAACAUCUUUUUCCCGGGCCAGAAAACACCUCUCAUUAUCUCCAUUAUCUCUAAAGCCCCUCUCUAACUUAAGCAUCGGAGGGCCUUCAUCGGAACCCCAAGCCAAAGGCUUUUUGCAGGUCCACCGGAGACAUCCGUCCGCCACCGCACUGCAGCAGAAGCUCCUCCUCCUCGAUUCGCAGUCACCCCCGGGUCUAUUUUCCAGCAACACAAACCAUGAUGGUGUUGUAGCACAAAUGUUGAAAAAAGAAGGAUAAGAGGUGGUUGUCCAUUGAAGAGUUCCUGCUUUUUCUGGAGGAGUCAGCAUCAGGUUCAGGGUUGGAGGAGAGAGAAGCUCAUGCUAUCUACCUGGGCUACCACACGUGGUUGGACAGGAAUGCCCGAGUCUUUGAGAGCAGCAGUUUGCCCCCGAGGGUGGUGGCGGCCAGAGCAUUACCGCACGUAGCAGAGUUCAUUAGGAUUGCUGAGACUUCACUUUACUGGGUUGGCCAAGGACAUCUUGGGCCCCCUUCAUGCUCUUGCAGUGCUCAGGUAUAUGUUUGUAUCUUGGAUGCCCCCACCUUCUGGCUUCCUAAAGGUGAAUUUCGAUAGCAGUGUGACGGACGGGGGAGAGGCGGAAGUGCAGGUUUCAUCAUUAGAGACCAUGAGUCCAGACUUGUGGCGGCAGGGAGCCAGCAGAUCUUUGAUGUCUCGGUAGUGUGUGCCGAGCUCAGAGCAGCCUGGGAAGGUACCUUUUUUGCCUGUCGGAUAUUGGGUACGGACCGACUUAUUCUUGAGGGCGACUCGACCACGGUGAUCGACUGGGUCCGAGGUGGGGGUAUGCAAGUGAGGAUAGGCCGUUGCUCCUCGAUAUUUACAGACUACUGUAGGAAUAUGAUGGUCAUCAGGCCACACAUACCUACAGGAAAGCGAAUGGAGCGGCUGAUUGGGUUGCAUCCUAUGCAGCCCACCAUUCUGGUGGUUUGGUGUGGAGAGACCAGGACAUAGUGUCGGGUUCUUUAUUUGCUUUGUUGUUUUCUAAUUUUAUUAGCCGUAUCCACAUCUGUAGGGUGUGAACCGCCGUUGUAACCAAAAAAAAAGAGGAUAAGAGAAGAGAAUUGUAUUUCUGCCUAUUGAUUACAAUGUACAGAAGCAGUCUUUAUAUAGAACUAGGAGGUUGACAAAAUUUGAUAAGGUCGACGAAGCUUGGCACAAUCAAUUACAAAUCAAUCAAGAUGAAGUUUGGUAAGGCCAACUAAAUUUGACACAAUCAAUCAAUUAAUGAAUUCUAAUAACGGAGUUCAAAGUUUGAUCUCUGCCACUUAGGGAUUCUACAUAACUUGCAUGACAUCCAAAUAGCAGCAAGUGACAAAGGGUUUGCAUCAAUGCCCAUAAUACCAACUACAACUCUCCAUAAGGUUUUGAACAAGGAGCACUCAAGGAAGAUAUGAUCAACGAAGUCUAUUGGGUCGUUGCAAAAAAAAAAGAAAAAAGCCUACCAGGUCAUAUCCGAGCUUCCAGUUGAGAUAUGCACUAGCAUUAAGCUUGUUCUUGAAACAUCUACAUCCCGACCAAUCCAUCCCCAUCUAUAUCACGAUCAAUCCAUCGCCUCAGUGAUAAUCAGAUCCAACCACUCCCCUUUGAUGUUUCCAAGAGGGAAACAGAGAAUAUGAUACUAGCAUGGUAGUGCAACUCUGGUACAACGGCCGUGGAGAAGCGCAGCCUCCAGUUAUUAUUAUUAUUAUUUUUUUUUUUUCUGAGUCACACGAUGGAGAGAUUCCACCGCAGGACAUUUUUUCUCAUACUUACUGAAAAUCAUAGGUUUGCUCUGGUACUUGUGCAAAAAAAUAUCGGGCAGGCCAUCACAACCCCGUACACAACCCAAAUUAGCCCAAUCUGAUUUGGCCCAGGCUUCGGGGUUAUUUUGCGGGCUCGAACUUGUUAGCUUCAGAUGUUGGGCCGAACUUCGAGCUUUUUAGAUGGCGGCGGAAGGGAGGAGGCACGAUUUAAGAAUUAUAGAUUGGAAAUGUAAUUCAAUAAAAUUAUAAAAAUAAUCAUAUAUAUAUAUAUAUAUAUAUAUGAUAUUUAUUAAUUUAAAUAAUGGGCUUGGGUCGGGUUAAUAUAAAUCUGAGCCUAAUCCAUUUGAAAAACUGACUGCAAUUCUGGUCCGACCCAGACCAUCAGGCUGAAAAAUCAGAUCCAGGCCUGCCCAAAAUGCAUCAGUUCCGACGGGCCCUGGUUUUUGAGCAGGCCUAAUAACCAUUAACCAGGUAGCCAUCUUUUAAUAUAAAUUGGUAGUUAAGGAACAGCUAGCAUCGCAUUAGCAGUACGGAGUCCUAGAAUGCAUCGUCGCAUUUCUCUAAAUUUUUCCGCUCCUGAACGGGCAUCGUGCAGUAACGGUACAAUUGAACGCGAGAGGUGCUCCGCUCAAGCGUAGCGCGCAAAGUUGGAGACAGCUGCCUCCACGCGGUAAACGCUAACCCAAGAAGCGAACUCCACACCCCGCUAUCCCCCUCCUCCCCCUCUCUCUCGAUGCCGAAAUCAUGAGGGUGAGUCUCUCUCUCUCUCUCUCUCUCUCUCUCUCAUACCAUGUGAAGCCGGCGGUCACAGUAGACAGCAGCUUCCCAUAAAUAAAUCAAGGAGUAUCCAAUGCACCCAAGAGCACGUAUAAUAAAAAUCACCCAGUGUCAGUGAGUCACGUGACAUGCCCCCUCCCCUGUCCUCCCCUCCCCUCCAGAUCCAGAUCUAAUGCACUGAAACCACCCCCCCACCUCCACAUUUCUUGCCUCUCUCCCUGGUUUCCUCCCAUCGGUAGAGAGAUGCUGGGCCGGACGCUAAACUUGAGGGCCGAGCAGCUGGGUCCGGGCGCCCUCCGGGCCAGUGGCAACCUUUGCUUCGCCCUCUUCGUUCUGGGCGUUUUGGUGUUCACCCUCAUCGCUGCCACUUACCAGCCUGACGACCCACUCCUCCACCCGUCCUCCUCCCAUCUCACCUCCUUCCUUACCUCCACCUCCAAUGCCACCUUCAGCUCCGACGACUCCGUUCUCCGCACCGGCGAAGACUUCCUCAACGUCUCCUCCUCCUCCUCUGUCUCACUCCAAGAAUCCGACUCCGCCUUCAUCCACCUCUCCGACCUUCCUAAUACUACCAACACCGCCACCGUUACCGCUGCCGACUCCACCGCUGCCAACACCGACUCCACCGCCGCCGCCACCGACUCCACCGCCGCCACCGACUCCACCGCCGCCACCGACUGCGACUCCGCCGCCCCCAUCGACUGCUCCGAUCCGGAGAUCUUCCACCUCAUGAUGCGCUACGCCAUCGAGUCUUUCCCCGACAUCCACUUCUACCGCUUCGGCAAGCCUGUCCCCGCACCCGCUGCCCCCUCGGGCGAGGGCGCCGCUGCCUUCGCGGCCUGCGACAUGGCCUGGCGGUUCCGCCCCAGGGACGCCAAGCGCGCCACCUUCUACAAGGACUACCGCCGCUUCGACCUCACACGCAAUCCGGCCAACUGCUCCGUCUCCGUCAAAAAGAUCGGCGACUUCCACUCCGGCGUCAACGCCCGCAAGAAGCGCCGCUCCAAGGCUGGCGCCUCGCCCGCGGGGGACUUCGCGCCGAAGAAGACGGAGAAAGCAUCGGUAGCUGCGGUGGAGGUGGUGCCGGUGGUAGGGGAGGCGGUGAACGACUCCCUCCCGGUGGUCGAGUCCGAGGCCAAGUUCAGCAGCGGCCGGUACCUCAUCUACUCCGGCGGCGGCGACCGGUGCAAGAGUAUGAAUCAUUACCUCUGGAGCUUCCUCUGUGCUCUCGGCGAGGCUCAGUACCUGAACCGGACCCUUGUCAUGGACCUCACCAUUUGCCUCUCCUCUCUGUACACCGGGACCGGGCAGGACGCUGAAGGGAAGGACUUCCGGUUCUACUUCGACUUCGAGCACCUCCGGGACUCGGCCUCGGUAAUCGACCGACGCCAGUUCUGGACUGACUGGGGGAAAUGGGAGAAGAAGAAUGGGCUGACCCUCCGCUUUAUCAAUGACUUCAAGGUCACGCCGAUGAAGCUUGCCGACGUUAAGGACACCCUGAUUAUGAGGAGUUUUGGGGAUGUCGAGCCGGACAACUACGGGUACAGGGUAUGCGAGGGGGAGACGGAGUCGGUGAUCCAGCGGCCGUGGCACCUCAUCUGGAAGUCCCGCCGGCUGAUGGAGAUUGUCUCAGCCAUUGCCACGAGGAUGAGUUGGGACUUCGAUUCAGUUCACAUUGUGAGAGGAGAAAAGGCGAAGAACCCCGAACUCUGGCCUAAUCUUGAUAGAGCCACUUCUCCGGAUGCACUGCUUGCGACCCUCCGGGAUAAGAUUGAGGAUGGCAGGACCCUUUAUAUUGCGACCAAUGAGCCCGAUACCUCAUUCUUUGAUCCCUUGAAGGACAAGUACACCACUCGCUUCCUUGAUGAUUUCAAGGAUUUGUGGAAUGAGAACAGUGAAUGGUACUCAGAGACUAAGGAGUUGAACAAUGGGGCUCCAGUGGAGUUUGAUGGCUACAUGAGGGUGGAGGUUGACACCGAGGUGUUCUUAAGGGGAAAGAAGCAGCUUGAGACCUUCAAUGAUCUCACCAACGAUUGCAAGGAUGGUGUGAAUACUUGUCCCGCUUCUUCCUGAUCCUGUGAUGGAGUUAGAUGGUAAGCUAUAAUUUUGGAGAGCUUCUACAGAUAAUUGCUUUAAAUUCUAAAUUAUCACUAGCCCUUCAGCAUCCUUGGGGAAUUCAUUCUUGCUGUAUUAGUUUGUGGCAUGUGUUCCGAGUACUAGAAUUGCUAUAUAUCUGUUGCCUAGGAACUCUAGUGAGAUUGCUUAGAAUAGCAGCAUUGUUAUUACUAGUUAUUGAGUGGCCUCUCUAUUUCUUUUGUUGGUGUUGCAGCUGCUGAAGUGUUGGGCUAAUCUUCUACUUGAUUGUGAUGGAACUUCUGCUCUACUUAUGUUGUAACAAAUGUUUAAGCCUGUUACUUGAUAGCAUAUUUGUAAUCCAAGAUAGAUAUUUUGGUAGCCUUCCCUUCAUAUCUGGUUGUAGUGAAUAUCUUAUCCACUUUUCUGUUUCCACAAUUGAGGUCCGAAUGAAUAAGUUGCAGGAACCUUCUGCUUUGGAUUCCAUGUCAGUUCCAGAGUUCUGUUUUUAUUCACUUGCUCCCUUACUUUGGAUGUUUUGGAGCUUCUGAAUGCUUAUCGAUAUUGUCUAAAUUACUUUAAAGUAAGUUGGAUUUUGUCAUUUUGUUUAGCUUUGAACCAUUCAAGUAUUGGUUAUAUAGAUCUUCUUAAAAGACAAUUUUUGUUUAUCAUUUAACAUGGUUCACCAAAACUGAUUUUCUAUCCAAAUGUUCGUUUGGUCCACUUUUUUCCUUGUCAUUUUCUGGGACGAAAAGCUUAUUCUCUGCUAGUGGAAGCUAAAUCUAUUCCCAAUCCAUUUUCUAGUUUUUGCAGCUAUAGAAUAGUCACUUGAUAUUCUACUGCAAAUGCUGAUAUAAGUGUUAAUUUUUUGCCCGAAUGUGGUAGAAGCUGAGAAGAUUAUCAAAAAGGUUACUGGUAUGUGAGGUCAGGCUGUUAUGCCUUAGAAAUACUUUGUUAGCUAUCUUUAGUUUUGGCAUUGUUUUAAAUCUAGACGAGUCAUCUAGUUUGCUGCAAGUCUUGAAUCAGUUUCCAGCCAUAGGCUUACAUGUUUGUACUAAAAUCUCUUUCAAUGCUUCUGACAUCAGCAUGACAUACUUUGUCUAUAUCUCUAUUUGGUUUUAUUCUGAGUCCAAUGCCCGAAACUCUGGCUUGUCCGAUGGUUUUAGCAGCUUAGAUGUAUUUUCGAUGAUUGCUGUGCAAAAGUACUUGUGUAAUAUCGGAGAAUUAUUUAAGAACUGACACUACAAAAUUUAUAGCAUCAUUAAUAGAACUAACUGGUUGAUAUGCCAAACAUAUGCCGUCAUGUUGAAAUUAAAAAUAACCAUCAUCUUUUUCCAUAUGGGAAAUUGGAAAUGUGACUUUUUUGAUAUUUAUAAAUACUUGCCCCAUAUUUAGAUAUCUCAUGGCAUUUAAUAAAAUCAUAAAUGUGUAAAUGCAAAAUUUAUGAAAUCCACAAUUUUCAGUUUUUUUUUUUUUGAAAUUAGAAACUUACGAAUUAUCGUAUUUUUAACAGUUUUCCAAAAGGAAUUGUUUCCCAAGUUUGAAAUUUUCUUGAGAUUUAAGCAACUCUGUAGUUUUAACCACUAAUGUGGCUAAAUGAUCGAGGAAUUAUUUACUUGUUUUCUUAUAGUUUUUGAUGUCUAACACCCAAGUUAAUCUAAUUCUUUUGAAAACUCAUAAAAUCCAAGUUUGAUCUUGUGAUAAAUAUCCUAAAAGACUUGAUCUUAAUAGAAAGAAAUUUCCAUUUAGGAUGGUGCAUCCACUUCAGAGUCUCUCCUGAAACCCAUCGCCACAUCUGCUUUCUGAACAUUUCUUUAUUCAAUUUUUGAAGAGGCCAACUUCUCCAUUCCCACAUCCAGAUCCACUCCCUCACUCACAUUUAUUUUGGACUUCUUCUAUGAACUAUUUCUCCAUGAGCAAUUUCAUUACUCUCUUAUAGGAUAAAAGAAUAUUGAAGACUAACUGCACAUGGGAAGUCAUUAGCUUACAUCCUUUAUGUUUAUACAGAAAUUGACUAAAUCAAGACAAAGUGGAACACCAGAACUAGGGUCUGUAUCAUGCUAGCUUUGGCUGAAACAGGUUAGUUUAGUCUGGAACAAUUUGUUUGCUCAGAACUUAAAACCUUAAUCUCUGGCCCUUCUGUAUGACUAGAGUAACCCACCUACUUUCUUUUUUCUGGUGCCACAUUUGUUGUUGCAUUUUUGUAAAAUCUAUUGUAUCUAAAUCUGGAAUGUUGAAGUUUUCUUUAAAAAAAUAUUUUUGCUUUCCUUUAUGAUGUCCAGGCUGGUCUUUCUGGGAUCUUGUUCAUCCUUAGCAUUUCUUAGUGGAAUAAUGUAUGACCAGGUUUCCCCUUGAUCAUCAAAGUUUACUUCCAGUGAGGCUAUGACAUUCCCAACAGAAACAGUACAUAGAUGUAUGCUUGUUAGGUCCUCAGUGAGUACAAUCCUGGGUAUCACUUGACUUUUUUUUCAUAAGCUAUCAUUGAUGAGAUUUUUUUUUUUUUAAUUUUCAUCCAUAUGAGGAAUGUUUCCUUAAAUGCAUUUGACCAUUUAUACAGUUGUUUGACAAAAGGUAGUGUCAUCAUUAGUGGCAAUCUUGUAUGUUCUGUCUUGCAUUAAAGAUACUGAAGCUGCGAAUUCUUCAUAAAUGAUGCAAAUUCAAAAAGCUGUAUAAUUCGGAACCUCCCACUCCACAUAAGGGCUGUUACUACUCUGUUAAUAGUCAGUGUAUUUGAGGCCUAAAUCUGAUAUUGAUGAGACAAAUACAUAUGUAAUUUUAACCGGCAAGCCCCUGUCUAAUUUAAAUGCGUUAAUAUACAAAUAUGCAGGAGUGACAUCUCAUAAGCACUUGGGUGAUGCAGAAUUUAGUGCAUAUAUCAUUGUUUAGUUUCUUCAAAGUGCCUCUUUUGAAAAUAUAUCAUGUUUUCAAGACUUCUCUUCUAUUGGCAAAGACUUUUUCAGAAGCAGAUCUCUCAUUACAGUUCUUUUGAUCAACUCAGUCCCUAUGCCUUUGCAUCUGUUCCGUAAUCUCCACCACCAUUUCUUUGAUGAAGACUAUCUAUUCCCUUGAGAUUCAAUAUCCUAGACCCUUAUUUUUUAUUUCUGCAAACUUUGCCUGUUUCAUCAAGUUAUGAAUUAUGACCAUUUGUCUCUGCAUCCUGAACAUAUGAACUGAUUUUAUUAUUUCUUGUUAGUGCCCUGUUUUAAAACAGAAGAUGUGUGCAAUCAGGGUGUAUGUUCCAGCUAGCCUUCGCAAUUGAAUCUCAUGCCAGUGCAGAAGCUAGUGCAGCUUUGCCCUUAUGCUGACCCAAUGCCACACCUAAAAUCCCUUUAUAAAUGACAGCACAAAGACCCCAAUCUGGAGGGGAAAAAAAGAGAAUGAUUUACUGAAAUGCACAAUGCUCUGAACACCAAAAAGCAAUGCAAAAAGCAGCAGUCACUUCCUGCUUCAAACCCUGAAAUUUUGUCUCAAUAGCUGCUGGUUUCACAUCCAUUAGCAGAAGGUGCUAAGAUGGCCUCUAUCAUUUUUCCCUUACCCUGCUUAGAACUUGCUCAAUUAGUAAUUAGGAACCCUAUACUAUUGUUUUAUAACAAGAUGUUGCUCCCUAAUUUAGAUCUUGGUCCCAGCAUCUUCACUGUCAACAGUAUAUCAGUCUUUAGAUCUGCUCUUUAGUGCAAGCUGCAGUGUGGCCUCUGGCAUAAUAUUUCUGUGGCAGAACCUGCCCAUGAGCAAUAAAAUGUUGAUACUAACAAUGAAAGAAAAAAAGAUUAAUGUUAUUUAUAACUAGGAAUGAAUACGGGGUUUUUCCUUCUGCUUAAAUUUCACACAUUCCUCUUGUACCAAAAAAAAAGCACACAUUCCUCUAGCCAUUAUAUUUCAGGGCAUUCUUUUUUUCUUGUCUAUUCAAUUCUCCUCAACUUUAUCCACUGUAAUUUCAUACUUCUUGAUCUUCCUUUGAUGUCCAAAAUUUGGUGAAUAGGUUUAUUGCUUUUUUGAGAAAAGUGAAUAUGGGUCUUCUAGUUCUAGUUCUUUAUGUUGAAGAAUGUACUCUAGUGCGACUUGCUACUUCCUGUGUAUUAGAUUAUCUGCAGCAAGGAUCUUUUGUCAUAUGUACGAUUCAUAUGAAUACAAUCCAAUAGCUGUUUACCAGGUGUCCAAAUAACGCCACUUUUUAUCCAUGAGAGACUACAAAGUUACUUUCUCUGAUGCUUUAACUUUUGCUUGGAAAAGAUUGCAGUUCUGCAUACUGUUCUAGACAUAGUUGUCUGAUAUCAGGUUUUUAUUCAGUUGGUGAUUCUUUGGGGGCAAAUGGCUAUCUUCAAGUGGUAAAUGCUGGACUCUGUGAUAGAUUAUCUCGAAGGUAGGUAUAUAGACCCACCUGCAUGUAACUGAGAAGUGUGAAUGGAAGAACAUAGUGCUUAUUCUCUGUGACAUGCUGUCCAACACCAACAACGAUUGUUUAGAACAUUUAAGUUUUUUCUGCAGAGAGAAGGAAGCGAAAAUGAAAUGGAAAUCAAGAGGAGAAAAAUAAAAAUUGCCCUGUAGCAUCUAGCUUUGUUUUUCAAGAAUCCUAGCACAUCAACUAUCAUGAUCGGAUCUUAGAUAUUUUUUUCGGUAACCUAUCAUGUCUUAGAUCUACUGAAUGAAUGACUUAAUCAUUAAUACGAAAUGCUAAGAUCAAAUCCAAAGGCAAAAUUAGAGCAAGACAAACCUUGUUAAACGGAGUCAGGAGUGGUUUUGGGGAAGAUUUGUGUGCAAGAGCAUGAACAUGGGGCAGACAAAAGAAGUUUAGACAGGGGAAGCACUUGGAAAGCAGCUGGAACAGUGAGAUUCUGUAGAGAUUUCCAUAGAUGGUCCAGCACCAUAGGUAGAAAAAGUUUCUGGCUGCUUGGAGGCAAUCGGUUGAUAUAUGUGAAGCUCUCUUGACAGCUCAAGCGCGCACUGGAUUGAAUUAGAUACUCAGUAUCCCUUCCUAAGAAGGAUGUUAUAUCCCAAGCUGUAUUUAUGAAAUUUGAAUGGUUGAUUAAUGAUUGCGUAGGGUGAUUGCUGCAAGUCUGCUGUGCAAUGAUGUGAUCAUGAGAGGAUUUGGGAAGUGUUGAUUCAAUUAGGGAAGAUGCAAAUCCAUUCAUUCAGGUUCUACCCAUGGAGGCACUGAUGUCGGUUGAAGUUCGAAAAAUUGAUCUUUUAUAAGAGGAACUUUCCACAUAAGACGUGUGACUUGAGGUUGACAAUUGUAGGUAUAUAACCUGUUCCUUUUGAUUGUUAUGUGAGGGAUUCAAUUACUGACCAUAUACAAAAAUGAUUCGAAUGUCUGCCAAUUAUAGAGAAUGCUGCUUGCUGAAGCAGUUGUCUAAUGGUCUGAUCACCAGAAAGCACCAUUUCAUUCUCCAUGACUCUAGAUUAGGUACGUGGAGAUGAAGACACACUUGGCAUGACUUGAAAACUAGACAAGCAGGACAAAAAUGGUGCUGCAGGUUUAGUGGACUGCAGGUAUAUUUUGUUGCGUUUGUGUUUGUGUAUGCAGUAUAAUAGCUGUGGAAGUUAAAAGGUACUUGUUUUGCUUCAUUAUUCUUUUAACGACCUAUUCCUUAUUUCAUCUGAAGUCAGAUAAAAUACUUUGCAUGUGGUGCGUUCUUCAACGUUCAUCCACCUAAUCAAUCAAAGCUAACAUUGAUGAGGCGUAGACUUUGUUAUUGGUUGUGAUUGUUUAAUUGGGAUAAACCAUGUAUAGGUAUUUGUAUCUCUUCGUUAAAGGUUUUCUUAUUUGAAUAAUUAUAUCUACGUAUUGAUCACAUGGUGAAUUUGUGGCAGAAUUCUGAAUAAAAUUUCCCAAAUGUUACCGAAUUCGAGGCAUAUUAGUUGAGGUCAAUAUCAACAACCAACAAAUUUGGCUGUAAAAUAUUUUUCGACAAUCUUUGAACUUCCCAUCUUGCUUCAUCAUCUAUUCAUCUCAUUUUGAAUAUCUUAGCUUUCAAUAGGAGUAACUUUGUAGAUCAGCUGGCAGGUGCUUAUGCACUGAAUUUUAUAGUAUCUUGUAGUUUGAGUUAGAUGAGGGAAUCAGUGAUGGCUGACUUCCUAAGAUAACAACAAUCACCAUUUUGGUUUGUGUACCGAGCUUUGUUAUGGAAUCUUCUGUUAUUUUAAUGCCUUGUCUUAUCGAAGGCAUGAGAUUAGGAGAAACCAACAAAGCAUAUAUUUAUAAACAAAAUGUUAUGAUUGGAAGAGGUUGAUCCAUAUAUGCCAAGGACGUUCCUGGAAGAUAUCACAUCAGCACGCAUUAUACGGCAAAUUGCUUGAUAAAAUACUUGAUUUAAUUGUUUUUCACCUGAUACAAUUAAAGCCCGUGAAAGAUCAUACUAUCCUAUCAAAGGGUCACCUCCAUCCCUUCGGCAAUGGAAAAGCAAGAGGAUUAAUAGGCCUUAUCUUUUGGCUGCUUAUUACAGGUCAGUAGCCUCUCCUCCCAUUUGAAUCAUAUCCUGUUCGUUUAGCUUUUAGCUUGCAAGAGAUUUCUCUUUUAUAACCAAAUACAUGACGGUUAAUGUGAGACAAUAAUAAAUCCUCUUAUAUCUAUUGCAGAUUGACAACUCUUUCCACCACAUCUAACUUCGAUUUGUAAUUUUUUAAUAAAAUUUUCUGAUGAACGAUAGAACAAAUUAUUGUGAAAAGUUCCUUGUUGAUUGUAACAAGUAGACUGCAUUAAAAAGUAAAUAGGAGAAUUUAUAAAAUUUAAAGUAGCUUUCAUCAUUUUUUUAAUUAAAUGAAAGGAUCAUGGUGCGAUAUAGUGCCACGCUUUUUUAAGGCCUUCUCAAAGAGAAAGUAUUUCUUAUGCUAUACAUGUGGGACUACGGAUACCUAUUAAAGAAUCAUACAUCAUACUUCUUUAACAAUAAAGAGGGAAAAGAAAGAGAAUUAAAACUUGGGAAAAGUGGGACUUCUGCCUGGUAAGAAGCAUAUUCUUAAAUAAACCUGGACAAGAAUGAAGAAUUUCACCUGGUAAAAAUUUUGAGAAGCUGUUUUAGCUUUUUCAGAAAGCUAAAAACAGUUUUUGGAAGAAGCUUCAUUUUGGAGCUUUGCGGAAAAGCACUUUUAAGCCUCGUCGAAAAGCUGUUACUUUUACCAAAAUAUCUGUAAUAAAAUAUAACAAGUAGACAAAAUGUCCCUUUAUAAUUCUGAAAAUCUACAGGAGGGUGAAAAAUUAAUUUACACUAAUAAUUAUAAUAUUUUAUACCUUUAUUAUUGUAUUAUACUAUAAAUAUAAUAUUAUAUUAUAUUAUAUCAUAAUACAUUAAUAUGUUAUGUUAAAUAAUUUAAUAUUAUGUUAUAUUAUGAAAAAUUAAUUUAUGCUAAUAAUUAUAAUAUUUUAUAUCUUUGUUAUUGUAUUAUACUAUAAAUAUAAUNNNNNNNNNNNNNNNNNNNNNNNNNNNNNNNNNNNNNNNNNNNNNNNNNNNNNNNNNNNNNNNNNNNNNNNNNNNNNNNNNNNNNNNNNNNNNNNNNNNNNNNNNNNNNNNNNNNNNNNNNNNNNNNNNNNNUUAUAUAUUUAUGUAUUAAUACAUAUUAUAUUUUAUUAUGCUCUAUUGUAUAAUACUAUGCAAUAUUCUUUAUGGUCAUUUUAUUAUACUAAAAGUACUUUUUUAGUUUGUUUACUAAAGACAUGUUAAAGUGCCACAACACUUUAGAAAUGUAAUUACCAAGCAGCAAAAAUUUUUUUUAUAAAAAUUCUACUUCUGAAAACUCUACUUUCAAAAUCUUUACUGCCAACAGCUCUCCCAAAUGGGGCCUUAAUAAUUUUACUGCUUCGAGAAUAAACCUAUAUAUUUAUAAUGUAAAUUUCUGUCUAGAAGCACUAAGCCAAAAUGUAGAUUAUAUUGUAUUAUGCCAAUAGCUAUUUUCGUCAAAUUUUACUCUUAUUAUUAUUAUUAUUAUUAUCCCUUAUUUUCUAUUGCAGAGAAAAAUUAUAGCCAUUAUAAAAAUAAUUAUGCUAUUUUUUAUAAAAAAUGUAAAUAGAUUGAGGAAACAAUGGCAGUCAUAUGUCAGUCCUAAUGGUCGGUAUUUGACCGUUGAACCUUCUUUUGGACAUUGCCUCUUGAUCUCUUUUUGGCAUGGAAGGAUGCAUCGUCCUCUUCCGCGAUGUCGGUUCUCCUUUUAUCGAUCCGUAGAGAUCUUGAAGCGGCAAUUGCAUAAUUUAAUAGUUAAUGUCGUGGGAAAAGAUCAACUAUUCUCUUGGCGAGAGAGGCGGAGAUGCCCAGUAUGUAUUGUUUUUAUUUUUUUACUAUAUCCGUACAUAUGUGUAAUAUUUUUGUUUUAAAAAAAAAAUUGCCUCUAACGUCCGUAACAAUAGGGUGGAAAGGGAGAUUCUCCGUUACCUGACCAAGCUGGUCCAGCUUUUUGGAGGGCAUCUCGCAAAGAGGGUAUGUUCCCUCCCAUUACCUAUGUGUGUAGGUUCAGACGUGUGGGUUUGGAGCACCUCCACUAGAACCAGCGUUAGGGUGGGCGACCUCUCCCGCAUUCUCAGACGACAAUAUGAGCCUAGGCCAGACUACGCCUGGAUCUGACGCUUGGGACUCCACCGGAGGGUAGCACUAUUCCUCUGAAAAGUGGUCUGGGACCACCUUCCAACGAGAGUAGUACUUAGUUGACGAAGACUGAGGAUUCCCUUGGUAUGUUGGGACUGUGGUGUGGAUGAGAUGGUGGACCAUGCCUUGUUUCAGUGCACAUGGGCUAGGGCGACUUGGCGACUGUCAGGGAUCCUGCAGGAGGUUCGAAGCCAGAGGGACCAGUUUUUUACAGGCCAUGCGCCGAUGUUCGGAGUCCCCACUGCUUCGCUAGGAGGCAGCUCAAGCGAUUUGCACGUCCUACCAGAUCUAGCUGGUUAGAAACGCUCGAACCUUUGGCGAACGCCGUAUGUCGCCAAGAUUUGUAUUACAGAGUGCCCGUAUGCAGGUGGCAGAGCUCAGUCACACCAUACCUGACGAAGAGACCUUGAUAGCUCGAGACAUCUGGGGUUCCCAUUUUGCUUCAGCAGUAUCUCGUACGGUAUUUUUCAUCUGAGAGCCCUCACCCCAGAGCUUCCUCAAGGUCAAUUUCGAUGGGUAUGUCUUGGAUGAAGAUACGAGAGGCGGAGCGCGGGUUUUGUUAUUCGGGACCCAUCUGCUAGGGUCAUGGCUGCAGGAGGCAGUCAACUCUUCGAUAUACUGGUUCCGGUUGCAGAGCUGAGGGUCGUGUGGGCUGGCCUUCGUCACGCUAGGUGUGUUUUACAGGCCAGUUCUAUUAUCUUGAAGGGGGACUCGGCCACGAUCAUCAGUUGGAUCCGAAGGGCCCUAGGGGUAAUGGUUGUGUCCACCCCUUACUGCGAAAUAUUUGGAUAAUGGUGAGGGAUGGGAGGGCCGUUCAGACCAAACAUAUUUUCCGUGAAGCUAAUAGGAUUGCGGACUGGAUGGCUGCUUAUGUAGCUAGUCACGCCGGUAGUGCUUUGUGGGCUGGAGAUGGCCCACACUUUUUUUUAAUAUUUUAUGUCGAUUGGAGAAAAGAUCGUGAGUGGGGCCCAUACAAAUGCGACAGGCUCUGUCAGAUGAUCCACACCAUGUGGUGCAUCGAGAGAGGGCGAGGCCAUUUAUUUCCACCAUGUGAGCUGGAGAUGGAUUGGUUUUGGAUCUCGCGCAGGGCUCGGUCUAGUCCAAGGUCCUGAAAUGUAUAUAAAAACAGUGGGUAGAGGCUACCCCACCAUUCAAGAAUUGUACAAUGGCCCGUCUAAAACGAUGUAACAAAAAUUUUGUUGUAUGCUCCAUUUGGAUGGGAUAAGAUUUGGUUAGAUGGUCCACCAAAAAUAACAUUUUGAUUCCUUUUCUUAAUAAUAUUUUUUAAUUUAUUGUAAGGACCAAGAAAGUACAAGUUGAUAAAUUCUUAUGAAUUGAUAUUUAGAAUAAAAAAUUAGAAAAAGAGAUGAUUGUGGAAGCAGGCGCCCGGAGUCAUCUUAAUCUAAUACAAUGAAAAUAGAUAAUUAGGAGCUAGAGAUUCGAGCUCGACCCAAUUUAGAUCUAAAAUUUGACUCGAGAUCGGUUCAACUUUAAUAUUCUAGCUCAAAUUCGACUCAAAAAAAAAUAAUAUUUGAGAUUGAUUCUGCCCACCUUAAAUAUCAAUCGGACCAUACACGAGCUUUAAUUUAAGCUCAAAUUCGAACCUUAAUAAUAAUUAAAAAUAUAGUUAAAAUAAAAUAUAACAUAAUAUUAUAUUUUAAAUUAUUAAAUUAAUAAUAUAUUUUAAAUAAAAUAUAAUAUUAUUAAAAAUAUAUAUGCUCGUUUUAAAAAAUUAUUCAAAUCGUUCGGGCUCGAUAACAAUCGAGCCGAGUUAAGCUUGAACUCGAGUCAAACUCAGGAGCUCUCGAUCCGGUCCUUUUACAUCUUUAAUGGGCUAUAUCACUCGCUUUUGGUCCAGGAUUGAGACACCUCAUCUCUCAGCCAGUAAACAAGUGGUUCUUAAUGGAUCUAAUGAUGGAUAGCAGGUCUUUGGAAGAUAGGGAGAGAGACCCAACGUACACAUAGUUGGCAGCAAGUUACCACUAUCCUUAUGCUUGGCUUUGAUUAUGAUACAAAAGGUCCCUGAUACAACUAACUUUUUGGUAUUGAAAUGGACAAUUAAUGAGAAUCUCACUUUUUUUUUCACAUACCAAUCCGAACCAUUCGAAUUAGAUAUGCGAUACGGUUGUAUAUUCGUUGAAGGUUAAUCCAAUGAAAUAUGCAAAGCCUUAAAAAAAAUCAACUAAGAGUAUACAAUUCCACUAAGUUUCAAAACACCUAAGUUUACAAUUCAAAAUAUAGAAGAACUUUUGAUAACUUUGUCUCGUUCAUGCUUAUGCCCCAUGACUGGCAUUAAUCUCUUGUGAUGCUUAUGCCUUGUGACUAGGCAUAAAUUACAUGUCACAAUUCUAGUUUGUGAUGAGCACCAAUCUCGUAUAAGGUUUCUAGUCUAUGAUCAAGCAUCGAUUUCAUGUCAUGCUUACAACUAGAAAUCAAUUUCACGAGGUUGGUUAUCAAAUGCAUGUGCAUGCCAUCAACACAUCUAAGGUGACCACAAUCGGCUAGUAAUUGUUACAAAGAUAGAAUUCAUAAUUCACUUAAAAUAUUAGUUUUUGAAAUGAAGGUUUCAUUUUAUUUUACAACAAUAAAUUCUAUUAUAAAAUCAUAAGGGAAUUCUCCCUAUAGGAAUUAUUAUUUUAAUAUUAUUCUAUUGUGGUAAAUAUAUAAAUAACAAGAAUUAUGAUAUUUGUAAAUAAGAUUAUAUUCCAAAAUUAAAUUUUUUGUUUCAAGGUAAAAUGUAUUUUUAUUAGGUCAAAAAUUAAAAGAUUAUUUGAUGGAGCAAUUUGAUCAAAUAACUUUGUUAUUUUUCUACUAGUGACUAGAACUUCUAAUGUGAUAAUAACUAUUGCUGAAAUUAUUGUUAUUUUAGUCUCAAAAAAUCAUAGUAAAGAUAGAAUUUGAUAGGUAGCAACAUCAUAGCGGCCAAUAGUGGUCUCAAUGGAGACUACAGUGAUAAAAUUGCCAUUCUAAUUUGCUGAGUAGCAGAGGUGUGCUUGAUUUGGGUCCAAAGAAAGCCAAAUGCAAUCAAUUUUGGUCAAUUCUCUUUUUUUUAACAAAAAAUCAGCUUAUAGGCAUCCAUAUCAAUUCAGUGAUUUAAUUGGCAUUCAUUGGAUUUUAGGAUAUUCAAAUAUUUUUUAAAAAAUUAAUGUUUCGAAUCUAAAAAUUCUAUUGAAUACCAACACGAAAAACAUAUACACAUUAACAAAAACUCGGCAUUAAAUACAAAACUAAUACUUCACUUAACUAUAUUAUGUUAAGUGAAUUGGGGUUUUAUCCUAGUGGCUGUAUCACUGUUUAGCAACUAAAAGUUUGGAGCUUGGGUAUUGGAUAAUGCAUCUACAGGAAUCAAAUAAAAAAUGCACUAUAAAUCUUGGAUGGAAUACAUUAAAGAAAGCAAAUUUAAUAUUACUUGACAAAAACAUACGUUUUGUAUGUCUAUGAUAUUACUAAAUCAGUUUUGGAAAGUCUAUAAUAAUAUCUUUCUCAAAAAAGAGAUUAGUAUAUCAUAUAUUAAAUCAUAAGACAAUAUAAGUUAUAUCAUAACAUUUUCACAUAUAAACGUUUAAUAAUAUAGUUUGAUUUUAUCAGCUUAAUAAUAAUAUUAUUAUUUGAUCUGGUUUUGGUUAAAUAAUUUAAAAUAGCAAAAAUAGAAGGAAAAUAACGGCUAUACUAAAUUUCUCUCAAAUAAUAAGGAGUCACAGCUGUAAUAACCGCUCGUGUUGGUCAAUAAUAGCCGAAAUCCUAGACUCCGGCGUCAAGCGCGCUUAUUUUGUUACCACCAGGCCCGAAGCAGUCUUGCUUCCCAACCGCCCGACGGCAGACCAGUGGGAGAUUGAGAGAGAAGCCGAUCGAUGGAGAAGUAUAGAGAGCUGAGGGUGGCGGCGGAGACGGUGGCGGCGGUGGACGCGCACGCUCACAAUCUGGUGGCUCUCGACUCCUCCUUCCCUUUUCUCCGAUGCUUCUCCGAGGCCGAAGGAGCCGCCCUCUCCCUCGCCCCCGAUACCCUCUCCUUCAAGGUUCUCUCUCUUUCUUUUCAUCUUUUCUUUUUCUUUUUUGGAAACGUCAAUCGCAGAUAAUACUGUUGUAGGAGUAUUAACGGGAAAAGAAAAAGAAAGGAAUAUUAUAAAACCCGCCAAAUUGCCUUCUUCUUCUUCUUCUCUCUCUUGUUCUUUUCUUUUCACCAGAUGGACAUUUUUAUCUUCUCUCUUCUUCUUCUUCUCCCAUCCACCCCACAAAUCUGAUGCCAAACAUAUGUUGAAAAGGGGAGAGAAAUUAUCUCAUCCGCGACCGGUGAAAGUUGUUUGAAUAAUUCGGCGAAAGAAGGGCCUUCACCAGCCUUUAUCCCUUUUCCUUCUCUUUUGCCUCCUUCCCUUUCCGGGUCGGCUUGGAAGAGAGCGUGGGCUGGCUGUCUGAUACGCUUGCUCGUGGGGAAACGAGACGCAGCUAAGUCCUAACUUAUCUCAAGCCGAAGUUCUCGGAUCAGACUGUCCAGAUCACUGAUCUCGCAGUCGCAGCCGCCUCGCCUUCUGAGCGUCCUGGAUCGAUGAGGGAGCCUCCGAGGACGACAGAACUUGAAGGAGCUCAUCUGAUGAAGGGCCGCCGCAAUAUUCUUGAGCCCUCAUUUGGACUGUCCGAUCUAUUUCUCGGCCACCAUUCGGAUGUUGGUACGGAAAAUUCACUCUCGAAGAUAAGGCUGGUCGAGGAGGUCCAUCGUUUUUGGACGGUCCGAGCUCCCGAGGGCGGACCUUUCUUGCCGUCGCUGGUCCACCGUCUAAGAAACGUUGGGGAGCAUCCCGCCUUCGGGUGAAUCGUUCUGCUUCUGCUGUUCCAUCGGAGCAUGUUAGACCUCGCCAAGUUCGGCUUUUCUAUCAAACGGUCUGGAGCACAGCAGCAGCGCGAACGGAAGACAGGCGUUUGAGGCGCUUCCUUAUAACUAGGGCUUAGAUAAAGACAGCCGCCACCAAAUCUCACGUUAUAAAGGCUUAGAUAUGGAGAAGUCAUGAGAAUUACCCUUAUAACUAGGGCUGGAAUAGGACGGGGUUGGGUUUCUAUGCAGCCUGCCCCCGGUCCAAAAAAUUUAGGAUUUGGGUUGGGCUGGGCUGUGAACUUUUUUUGAGUACAGAAAACCCCCCGAGGUCUGUAUUUAUUAUAUUUACACCUAAUAGUUUGUAAAACCUGGACUUACAUCCGGUUAAAUUAACGACCUUAUUGUAACCGUUUAUCUCAUGCAACAGUCGAAAUUGCCCUUGAGUGGGAAGGAAGAUACACAUGUUUUUUUAUAUUGUUGACGUUGAGUGAAUGCUAUGUCACUUAAGAUUAUUUUGGUUAUUUUAAAAAAAUUUUUGUCGUAUUAUUUAAAUUCCAUUUAAGGUUAACGAUUUGACUAAUGUUCUAUUAAGCUAUGGUUAAAGUGUUGGAUCUAAGUGCCAUUUACCUCUAAUCUUAUAGAGAUUUUGUAAUUUAUUCUUUUUUUUUCAAACUUCUGGCACAAUCGUGAUUCUAGCCCGACGCCAACCUCAUCUUGAAACCCGAUCAGGCUAGCCUAGAGAGGGAAAAGAGAGAGCAGGGAGGGGAGAGGGACCGAGUGGAGAAAAGAUGGAUGGGUAGAAAGAGCGGAGAGGGUAGCAGGAGAUUGGUGCGGAGGAGAGAGUACUUGAGCCAGGGGGACUGAGGAGUGAGAGAGGGUGGGAUUUUUCUCAGGCCAUGUUUGGGUCUGGUUAUGAGUACGGGCUUCAGGCCAGGCCAAGCAUCAACCCGUGUCCAGCAUGAAUUCCUUUGACUCUAUUUGCAGGUGCAAGUUCAAAUUGCCUCAAGCCUAGCUCAUGGUCCGACACGGUUGCAACCGCGUGACAGGACACGCCCUUCCCCAACACAUGGAGCCUUCCGGCCCCGGCAUGUGCGUAGGAGGGGUCGCCAUUAGGCCGCCGACAAUGGAGCACCACCUUGCACGACAUACUGAAAGGCAACUUGGCACAACAGGCCUUCGGCUGACCAGAGACCAUUUUUAGCCCUACUUAUAGUUGGAGAUGACCCAUGUGGAGUGUUUGGAGAUGUAUCACUUUCCUAAGUUGGAGCUAGCUCUUGCUUCUCCUGUAAUGGAAAUUGAUGUCUAAUAUCUUGGUAUCGUUUCAUUUGAUGUGGAGUGUUUGGAGAUAUAUCCUGAAUAAAAGUGCAUGUGGUAGGCUAGUGUCUUGAUCCAUAGCUUUGCUAGAUCUAAAGUUUUAGGGGCUAAACUCAUAUAAAUUUGACUAAUCUUUGUGGGGUCUAAAUUUGCCUCCAAUUGCAGCUGAUGGUUGUGUAGGCAUUGACAUUUGAAAAAAACAUGCUGCAUAUCCUUUCAGUAGCAUUGCCUGCUUAUCUGUAAUGAACAUUUUAAUUCUUCAGUCAAUAAAUAGAUUUAUUCUGAUAAGGUUCUUCAGUUAACAAGCAUUCGAUCUAACAUACUAAUUGUUCCAUACUGUUAUGAUACAUAGUAAUUGAUACAUGCUGCAGAGGAGCUUGAGGGAUAUUGCUGGACUUUACAAUUGCGAGGCAUCCUUGAAUGCAGUGGAAAACCACAGGAAGUCUGCUGGAUUGCAUUCAAUCAGCUCAAAAUGCUUUGAAGCAGCCAAGAUAUCUGCAGUCUUUAUUGAUGAUGGCAUUCAGUUUGACAAAAUGCAUGACUGGCAAUGGCACAAAUCUUUUGCUCCUGCAGUUGGCAGAAUAUUGAGAAUUGAACACUUGGCUGAAACAAUUCUUAAUGAUGUGAACUCUUCAUCUUUGUUUUUCCCCUUUGAUGUUUCCUUCUAGAAUCAGUUUGCAUGCUCAUUUUUAUGUUGUCAUGCAUAUAAUAUAUUUCUUUACUGUCGAUUAAGUUGCUGUGUACCUUUCUAAUCAAGUUUAUUUAGCUCUGCUGCUUUUAUAAUAUGAUUGAUUAAUCAUCUACAAUCUAAAUGAGUUCUUGUAACGAAGACAAACUUUAUAAUGGCAAACUGUUUUAAGUAUAAUUAUCUGAUGCUUCUAUUGAAGUUCUUUUUCUUUAUAGAAACAAAUUCUUUGUUAUUACUUUCUGCAAUUUGCACAAGCUAAUCUAUUAUAAUUCUACCUAGAUAACCUAAAAAAGAAAUGCUAAAUUGCAUUUUCUUUUUAACUUGCUGUUUUUAUAAAAUUAAUAUAUUUGUUUAAAGUUUACCACAUCUAGUAUGCCUCAGGUUGUCCUAUCUAGUAUAAGGAUUAAGAACCCUGUCCAUCCCUGUGGUACCACAUUCAGGCCUGAGAGAGAUCAGGUCCUGAGAUGCAACUGAGACCUGAGUCUCACCUGAUCAGGUCAUCUUUGUCCAUACCCGGCAGGAAGGACUGUGAUUGUUGCAUCCCGAUACUUGGAAUGGCUUGGGUUCUAGAAACUCCAAUUCAAUGAUUUAUUUUAUUUUUUUCUUUUAAUUCUUGUUUAGUUAUUUAUAUUGGUUGUUCUGGCCAGCCAUAGUUAGUCUCAGUGCCAUCCUUGCGGUGCAUUGACUCUGUGCUGUUUAGCAUGAGCACUGGUACUGGGAUUUAGAUCAAGGUUCGAUGUACCAACUCCUACUGCCCGGUAUUGGAUGUAUAGUACCAUAUCGAUAAGGUAUAGGUAUCGUACUGUGGCUUUAUAUGGCUCUGUACCAACAAUAUGGUACAACUGCUUAUCUCACCUCCAGCAGUAUACCAUGUGCUGGCACGGCGAUGUAUCAUGUCAACCCUUACUGUACUGGCAAGCUACCAUUUUUAUCCUUGCUACAGAUAUAGAGAUCGUUGAUUUAAACUCUUUUGGUAAUUAUAUGUUUAUUGCAAUUGGUAAAGAUGCUGUGAUUCUCAGGCUGAUGUUUGUAUUGUAUGCACAUUUGGUGUGAGGGCAUGUGUCUGUUUAGUCAUUGUUAUCUUCAAGCAUGUUCCUCUAGGAAACAAAAGUUUUCUCAGGAACUUCUAGUAGAAAAUGAAUCCAAUCUACUUUCCUAGAAACAUGGAAACAUGCUGGAGAUGCCUAUAGAAAUAUAUUAAAUGCAGCAGGAAAACCACUGAAAAUAUGGCUAAAUAUAUGGAAUAACAACAUAAAAGACUAGCUACUUGUGCACUUGUUUCCUGGUGGUCCCAAUGGUGUCAUAAGCAUUGCUCUCAUGUACCUCAACAAUUUCCAUAACUUCAUAUAUUUGGGCAUUUUCUGCUACUCGUCACAUGUUUUGGUUUUACAUGUAGACUGCUGUGACCACUUGUAAUCAGUGUAACAACUGCUGACUUUUUUAGUAAUAGUGAAGGCUAUUAUCUAGUUGCUAUUAGAAAAUAAAUAAUGGACUAAGCAUCUCUUUGUCUACUAGCUUCUCCUUGAUUGCCUGCUUUAAGAUGUUAUUGAGGCUUAAAGCUUUUAGGCUUUUUUUCCAAAAGCAGGAUUCAAUUUUUCGACUGUCCUGUUAAUUUGAAAUAAAGUUUGGCUUUAAACGAGUGCUAUUUGCAAAGCCAUAGGUCCCAGGUUUUGUUGAAUAAUAAAGCAAGCUAUCUUCUCACAAGAUGCAUUUAUGCUAAAGUUAAAAUUGUUACAAUUUUAAGAGUUAAAUGCAUUUACCUAAACAAAAAUGAAUUAUAGUUAAAUAAGAUGACACGGUAAUAACUUAGAUAGUAGAGGAACAUCUAUAAUGAUGUCCUUGCAGUCUCUCCAGGUGUAUAGAAUUUGCAUCAAUCCUCUUCUCCUAAGAUCCAAGUAAGCAGCAGCCCAGCUUCAAACAUACAGCCUCAACUUGCCUAGAGUCUCUGAAAGCUGAUGAUGGAGAGAUGAAACAAGUCUUUAAUCUCUGUUUAGAAUCUUUCUAGAAGGAGUUUCAUUUGUGUGUGCAUGUGAGAGAGAGGGAGAGGGCAAAAUGUAUUUUGUGGAUCUUAAUGUAAAAGACAGUGUCCCAUUUUAUUGAAAUCACAGGGAUAUGCUCAAUGGAUAAUGGCAUCUGCUAGAUUUUCGGACUCACACAAUCAAAAUAACUUAUUUGGGAAAGGUACAUCCAUUAGCAAAAAAUCUAACAAAGAAAACAAGAAAGAUAACAGAGUUGCCAAGUCUUCCAUAUACGAGUAAGUGUUUCUGAGAAGAGUCAUGACUGAGAAGUGAAAACCAUUCUGUGAAAGCCCUAUCAUUCAAAAGUUCUAAAUGAUUUAUAACACUAUCUUGAAAGGAGUCCUAUGGCCACUAAGUUUGAGAAGUUCUUGAAUUACAUAGUUUCAAAAACAUUAGUUCCGACAGCUAUGAUAUUCUCAUUAGCAUUUGAUGUAUUACACUUUGAAAAGAGAUUCAAUCAUAGCUGAUCUCUCGCUCAUGCAAGAAAUAAAGAUAAAACUUUAAAAAAAUUUAUUACUCACUAUUAAGCAAUGGUUAGUUGAGUUUAAUGAAAUGUUGGGAGCAUCAGAUAGCAACAGUUUUCCAGAGUAGUUUCAUGUUAUUAUCAUUUUUGGAUAUGCUUUUAAUGCAUUUUUUAAAAUUCAUUUUCUGAUAUAAUUUGCUUAUCUGAUCAAUGUUACAGUAAAUUGUCUUGGUUUUUAAAAAUGCUUACAUUUCAGAAGAAGUUCAGCACAUCAAAAUGGACUGUGGAUUCAUUUACUGAAAUUUUCCUUACAAAGAUGAAAUCAUAUCCUUUACAGUUCAAUGAUGUUUCAUUUGUUCUACCGAUUCAAUUAUACAACUAAGCAAAAUUUCUUGGUUCGAACCCCCACAAAGAAAAUGUUUCAAUGCAUUUCCUUAGUACAACUGCUACAGUUGCUGAUGACAUUGUUGCCAUGAAAAGCAUAGCUGCUUACAGAAGUGGUUUACUAAUUGAUACAGAAGUUACUAAGAUAGCUGCUGAGGAAGGUUUUCUUGAAGACUUAAAUGGUAAGUGCAGAGAGAGGGUGUGUAAGAUGCAGGACUUGUUUAAAUGCCCUGAACUUCUUUUUUUUUAUUUUUAUGGGCUGAAGAUGAUGCUUCUGUUAAAUAUUCUUUUCAGCUGGCAGACCUGUUCGCAUCAAGAAUAAGAGAUUUAUUGAUUAUUUAUUUACACGUAGUUUGGAAGUGGCUGUAUCCUUUGACUUACCUAUGCAAGUUCAUACAGGGUAAUGGACUCAUCCGAAGCUUUCUCAUUUAAGAACUUCUUUCUUAGUACAUAAUGAUUGUUUGGUUCAAUUACACAUCUGCUAGUCACAGGGAUAUGCAAACUUUGUAUUUACAUUUAAAGAUAUAUGUUCCUUCUAACUUUAUGCAAAUUGGGUAAUUUGAAGAUUUAAUUUGUCAGGGCAAUCUAAAGCAAUUUUUCAAACUUCUGGAGUUCUUUCCUUUCAAUUAAUAUUUAUAGAUCAAUUCAUCUUGUUUAGGGUAGGAAUUUAGUCUAAAAAGCAAGGUCGGUGGAACCGUCCCGAAUCGGGCGGUUCCGACUGUUCUUUGCUGUACCGGUGGCUCACCGGUACGAUUCCAACGGCUCACCGGUACGGUUCCGGCAACGGAAACAAGACCCGUUGCAGGAGCCGGAGAAGGAAAGAGAGAGCGAGUGGGGGAGGGAGGGCUGAAGGAGGGUGGCGGACACUGGCAAAGGGCCGGCGGAGGCUGACGGAAGCCAUAGGGGGCUGCGAAGGCCACGGGGAGGCUGGCGGAGGAUGCGGCAGGCGAGGCCGCGGGUUCGAAAUAGGAGAAUCAGCCGUGGCCUCGCUUGCUGCGGCCUCCGCCGGCUCUCUGCCGGUGUCCGCCACCCUCCUCCGGCCCUCCCUCUACUGCUCUCUCUUUCUCUUUUCCUCUCUCCUACGGUGCUGUGCCCUCUCGGUACAGGCUCGGCACGGCCCGUAUUGAGUCGUGCCGCCGGAAAACCGCUAUGGUGCCGGUACUGGUUCCUCCAACCUUGCUGAAAAGUAUUGGCCAUUACAUUUUUCUUAUUCUUUUGCCCAAGCAGAUUAGCAGACAAGCUAUAGCUAUUGCAUCUGAUUACGAGAAGCAAACCAGUCUAACUUUUCUUUAAAUUUCAGUUUUGGAGAUAAGGACUUGGAUUUGAGGCUGGCCAACCCAUUGCAUCUACGUAAAGUUCUUGAGGAUAAGAGAUUUUCUAAAUCUCGGAUUGUUCUUCUACAUGCAUCUUAUCCAUUCUCGAAGGAAGCAUCAUAUCUUGCUUCAGUAUACUCCCAGGUUUGAUCUUUCACAUGUGCACUUUGUCAUAACUUGAAUUUGAUUUUUACAAGUUAUUUAAUGUCUUUGUACAUAGGUCUACCUUGAUUUUGGACUGGCUGUGCCAAAGCUUAGCGUUCAAGGGAUGAUUUCUUCUGUCAAAGAACUUCUAGAGCUAGCACCUAUGAAGAAGGUGAAGUUAUCUUCUUUUUCUAAGCUAUUUUUUUAUUUACAUAUUUUUUUUAUUGAUUGGAUGCUAAAUUAGAUUUUAGGCAUUUGCUUCAAAACAUGUUGCUUAAAUUUUUUUUUUAGCUAUUAAUGCUUUGUUCAACAUCAGAUCCAUGUAUGCAAUCAACGACUAAUCUACACAUCCAUUUUUCUCAUACCUUUUUCAAUUACAAUACACUUGUAACUUAAAUCUGUCUUAAGUUAUCUUGGUCAAACUUCAGGCUUUGCUUUAGCAAGAGGUGCAUGUCUUUUGUGCAUUCCACAAUUUCUUAUUAUGCCUCCAGUAUCCCUCCUUGUUUACUUUGACAAAUUCAGUAGUGCACUGCUGGAUUUUUGGAUUUGGGGGGAAAAAGACAUGCAUCACAGUCAAUAUGUCAAUUGGAUGUCUUACCGUUUGGUUAUGCAUAUAGUUUCUGUAGAUGAUAUUGUUCUCAUAAGAGAUGAUAUGAUAGAGAUAAUUGCUUCAAACUAGUUCUUAUUAAGGAGAUUGAAUAUAAGCAUUUGGUAGUCGGUACAACAACUUGAUUUCCUAGGCUUUGCGGUGGCACACUAGCAAAGGAGGAUGCUUUUUCAAGGAUUUCAGCCUUCUUGGUUGCUGAUAGAUAAAUUGGGCACUAGCAUGAAUAUGUCUUUUUUGGUACAAGCAUGAAUAUGUCUAGGAGACCAGUUGGAUAGUUGUUUUGCUUGACUGAAAUUUAAUUGUCAAGAAUUAUAUUAUACAAUGCAACCAAAACAUCCUAAAGUUUAGGACUAUGCAAUUUCUGUUUUGCAAUCUCUUCCUCUAAUCAGAGCUGCAUAAUUAUCAAGAUAUGCCAGUUGUAGGUUGUCUUGGGCUCAACUUUUUAAGUGCCUAGCUGUAUCUCAGAGCCCAUGCUUGGUCCCUGCCUAGCCCAAUGUUAAACUUAAACAUAAAGUUGGACCAGGCUAAAUAUUUUUUGGGUGGGCUAGGCCCAUUGGCCCAUCCAUAGCUUAAACAAAAUUCCAAAGCGACUAGAUUCUAAAGGCAUGACAAUAGCUAGAUACAGUGUUAACUUAGGAUUACUAAGACUAAUGAGAAAUAGCGGACAAUCUGGGUAUUAGUUGUGCCUGGAUGGUUUUACAUCAUGCAAGGUUGAUAAUGUCUACAUUUUGAUCAUGAAAGAUUUCUUAUGGAUAAUCUCUUUAAGAGAAAAUUCUUAACAUGAACAAUGUAGUUUUAAUGAGAUAACUUGAAUUCCAUCAUUCUAAAACAUUUAAGCAAAGGCCUUUGUGCAUGAAACCUACUUGGACUUCAUACUCUUGAACUUUUGCUUCCAUUGACCUUUUAUAUAAUCAACACUAUAGAUUCAAAAACUACUAAAACGAGAUGAUACGACCAGUACCGUACUAUUCCAGCAUGAAAUUAGUACUGGUAUCGGUACUGGGAUGUUAAAAUAGCUGUUAGUGAUGGCAAUGGGUUAGGCAUAAUUAUGGUAUGCCGUACCGGCCUGAAUCGGACGUACCGUACCGGUUCGGUAUCAGUACCGAUGGCGUACCGAUACUCGAUACGCCAAAACAAAUUUCGUACCGUACCAUACCAUACCAACACUAUACUAGUGUGACACUGGUACGGGGUCUAGUACCGAGACGGCGAACCUUGCGUAUAAUCAAUAGACCAUUAUCCGGACCUGCCUUGCACUUUGGGUAAAACCCAUCCCAUUCAGGUCAGAUUGGGUUGGGUAUCCGAUGGGUGGAGCAAAUUACUAUCCCUAAUAGCUGUAUCAGUAUUGUACCGGCCAUACUGCUCUAUACCAGUCGCACUGGUUGGUACCGAUGGUUUUCCAAUUUUUUGCAAUAUGGUAGUUUUGGUGUAUAUCAUCGGUAUCGAUAUUGUGUGGUACUAUACUAUAUUGAUGGAAAAAUGGUAUGGGGUUUGGUAUGGGCACUUAAAAGCUUUAUUAACAAAUGUUGUAACCAAUGCUUGCAAUGGAUUCCUCCCCCUAACUUGAAUCAUUUAACCCAUAUUGUGUAACAACAUUUGCGGAACAAUUGAUCCACUAGUAUAUGAUAUGGCACUUUGCUGGCCAAAUAUGAUGGACAUUACACAUCUCUAUUAGCCUCCAUUCAACCUAAGUUUAAUGGAAAAUUAUCCAUACGCCUGCCGUGUGUUCUUGAAAAUUGCAUUUGUGUCGUUAAAAAUAAUAAUACCAUAGUGACCACAUAGGUCAGCCUCAAAAUAAAAUUGGCUCUUUAUCUUUAGGAUUCCAGUGCAAAGUUACUUUGAUAUGCCAAGACAUUUUGAAAUUUAUGAUCAAUCAAUUUCAAAAAUAUAAUUAUGGCGCAGAUCUUGUAUUUGUGUGUUUGUAGCACAAAACCUAUUACACACAUUUGAAUUCAACUAGAAACCAGUGAUGCAUCUCCGUUUCAGUCAUCACAUUUGCUUCUUCUACUGAAUAUGACUCUUUUUGUGUGGACAGAGGUCUGCCGUUGUUUGUUAUUCUUGCAAGUUUUUCUUUCUAAUGACAAUAUGGCUUACAGGUGAUGUUCAGCACUGAUGGCUAUGCAUUCCCUGAAACUUUCUAUCUAGGUAUGUUUCAAAGAUUGUUAGUUAUUCUUUCAAGGCUGUCGUAUUUGUUGUUUAAUCUGAUAUUGAUUUUUGCAUAACUUAAAUCCUACAACUGUUAUCGUGCAUAUAAAAAUAACAAUAAGACACAUUAUUAUUCUAAAUGCUCAUGUUUCCUAGAGACAUAUCAAAGUAGUAAGUUAAUAUAUUGUAUCUUUUGCAGACAAAAAAAUAUCCUUUAGAACAACAGCAUCUUGAUAUCGCACUAGGAAAAGGCAUUACGGUCAAUACAUGCUAUCUGUUGAUAAGCUAGUCUUAAUUCUCUGGUUGGUUUUUAGGUUUUAGUUUUAUUAUGCUGUUCAGUUAAUAGACAUCCUUCUAUCUGGUUUGUUUGCUCUUCUAUGUAUUCUUGACUGUUUUAGCAAUCAAUUUGAUCUAUUGGCUCAAGAUCUGCAGGGCUUCAAAAAAUUUCCUUAAAUGACUGAGAUGGACCUUCAAAUAGCUUUAAGAAGUUAUAUUACUUAUAUACCUUGUCAUAACUGGUUAUAAGAGGGUCUAUAAGAAUAACAACAAAUUCUAUUUUAGCAUGUGAUAUGGUGGGAUGUUAUGCGGGAACCUAGGAGGUUCAUGAUUUACUUUAAAUAUUCUAGUGCGGCUUAUUUAAUAAAGAAACUUACCAUAACUAUCUAGCUUUUUACCAAUUAUUUGGGGUUGGCUUUAUGGAUCCUCAUUCACCAAAUAUUCCUAUUUAGGGCCAAGGUCCGCCGUACCGGUACCGGUCGGCGUAUCGGACCGGUCCGUACCGGUCCCGUACCGGUUCUUCAACAAUAAAUUACCGGUACCGGAUUUCACGCUGAUCCGGUACCGGUCCCAGGCCGAACCGAUACGUACCGGCCCGUACCGGCCGGUACGGCUGACCAUGUUUAGGGCCAUAAAUGAUGGUAUAUCACGUUUAUCCAUAUCCUACCUCACAAUCUCCAUCUAUGUUGUAGUUCUUCCGCUUCUUUUCUGACGACCUUUAACACAAACCAAAAUACUUCUUACUGGAGCCUCCUCAGUUCUUUGUUGUUUUAAAGUUUAGAUAAUCUAGAUUCUGGAGUACUUAAUAUUGUUCUAGUACUUUAGGCCAUUGGUUGCAUGCUGUUUGUGCCAUUCUUGUCUUGCCAGAGUAAGUUGUAAAAUCGAUAAAAGCUGAAGACUUUCCCUAUAUGACCAAACAAAUUUGUUAGCAAGUUACAAAUAAUCCAUGAAGAGAUGCAUGCUCAUUUAUCUUCAGUUUUUGGAUUGGUGAUCAAGAUUUUGGGUUCAAGGCAUUUAGCAAUGCUGAUUUGUUAAUAAGGUUCUUUCGUUAAUCCCCACUUGCACUAAGUUAUUUAAAUCUUAAGUUUGUCCACAAUGUUCACAUUAUAUGCUUGUCCAGAUCUCUUUACUUGUGGAAAGCCUAAACCUGGACCAUGAUCAAAUAAUCGAGACCUUUCUUUGAUGAUAAUUUUAGCUCUCUCUGCGUAUGUAUAUCUAUAAACUAGAAGCUCUUCACCAAUCACUUUUUCCACUAACAUGCUUAUUUGGAUCUUUUUUAAUUGUUCAAUUUUUGGGUUGGUGAAGAGCUUUAGUAAGACGCCUUUCCCUGUAUAAGAAAGAAAUUUAUUCAAUUGGUUUAGCUAUAUAUGCUUUAUGAUGCAUUUUUCUUCAUGUAUUAUUUUAGUCAGUAGUCUGGCCAUGUAGCAUAUACAGAGCUUGUAGAUAUGCACUCCUGUGUGUGGUGCAGUCAUCUUGCUGUGACUCCAUAUAGCGUUGGACUGCUCACUUUCCAUUAAAUCUUUGAGUGGAGUAAAUGGUGGAAAAUCCCUGAUGGGUCAAGUGGAAGAUCCUCCAUUAAUUAUUAUCUGCAACAUGAAAAUGCCUUCAAACAAGAAAAUUAUAUGCUUCAAACAAGAAAAUUAUAUGCUUUGGAGGUCUCCUAUCUAUUUAUCAUGCGCUAAAGGAAAUGACAUCUUCAUUUCAACUUCUUGACUUGGGAUUAUAUUGUUAGAAUUCUUGCCUGGGAUCUCAUGUGAGGCUUCAGAGACCUAUUGUUGAUUAGAAAGUAAAUGGUGGAAAAUCCCUGAGGGGUCAAGUGGAAGAUGCUCCAUUAAUUAUUAUCUGCUACAUGAAAAUGCCUUCAAACAGGAAAAUUAUAUGCUUUGGAGGUCUCCUAUCUAUUUAUAAUGCGCUAAAGGAACUUCAUUUCAACUUUCUUGACUUGGGAGUAUAUUGUUAGAAUUCUUGCCAGGGAUCUCAUGUGAGGCUUCAGAGACAUAUUGUUGAUUAGAAUUCACUUGCAGUGAUCUGACCAUUGGAUGGUGCUAGAAUAAAGUUCCUUUUGUUGGGAGUUUCAUCAAGAUUUCAUGGCAGUUCAGCAAUCUGGCUCCUAGCUAGCUCCUGAAAUUUUCUGGAUUUCGGCCACACCUUGGGGCUUCUAAAGCUCUUCUUAAAUUUGCUCCAGCUCUUUUGGUCUAUCAUUAAGUGGUUACCAGUAUAAGGCAAUUCAAAGAAUUUCUUAACUUCAUGCGAAUAGACCAUCUGGCAACUAUUUUGUCAUUCUUCAUUUUUGGAGAUUUUUUCCUCUGCUCCACCACUCUUCUGGAUUUUCUGCAACUCUUUUGGUGGUCCUAGAGAUUUUUUCCUCUGCUCCACCACUCUUCUGGAUUUUCUUCAUCUUUUCUCCUUUGGAUUAAUUUCUGGUUAGGGAAAAAGGGUUUCUAUAAGUGGUCCUCACAGACAUUAAAUUAGUUAUAACUGCCAUCACAUUAUUGUGUGGGGCAUUUAGGCCCCGUUUGGCAAAUCUUUUGGUGGGCUAGAAAGCACUUUCUGGCCCUUCAAAAGCACUUUUGGAUGGUAUAGUGGUGCUUGGUAAAAAAUUGGAAAGCUGUUUUGGCUUUGCCAGAAAGCUAAAAACGUUUAUUUGAAAAAAGUUCUAUUUUGGAGCUUCUCUCCAAAAGUGCUUUCUGGAAUGUCGGAAAGCUAUUUUGGUUUUAAUGAAAUUUUUUUGAUGACGAAAAUGCUCACCAACAAAUCUCAUGAUACGUCCUAUAUUCUAUAAUAUCAUAUCAUAAUAUAUUAUUACAUUAUAAAUAUAAUAUAAUAAUAAUAAUAAAUUAAUAAAAUAUUAUGUUAUAUUAUAUUUUAUUAUUACAUUAUAAUAGAAUAAUAUAGCAAUACAAAAUUAUAAUAUAAUAUAUAAGCAUAAUAUAACAUAUCAAUGCAAUCAUAAUAUUAUAUUAUUAUAAUAAUAAUAGUUUUUUAUGAUGAUAUAAUAUAUUAUUAUUAUAUUAUAAUAUAAUAUUAAUAAUAUAACAAGAUAAUAUAUUAUAUUAUCUUACAUUUAUUAUAUUGUAUUACAUGAUUAUAUUAUUAUAAUAUAAAUAUAUAAUAUAAUAUUAUUAUAUUACAAUAAUGCAAUCUAAUAUAAUAAUAUUAUAAUAAUAAUAUAGUAUUAUUAUAUGACAAUAUAAUCCAUUAUUAGAUUAGAUUCUAAUACAUUAUAUUAUAUUAUAUUGUUAUAUUAUAUUACAAUAUUAUUAUCUAAUAUUAUAUUUUAUAUUGUCAUAAUUAUAAUAAUAUUAUAUAACAUUAUAUUACAUUGUAGUAAUAUUGUACUAUUAAUAAUACAUUAUUAUAUCAUAUCAUAUUAUGUUAUAUUAUCAUGCUAUAGUAUUCAAUAUUAUAUUAUACUAUAUUAUAAUAAUAUUAUACAAAAUAAUAAUAUUUUAAUAUGUAAUAAUAUGUAAUAUUAUAUUGUAUUAUACUCUACUAUGUAAUAUCUUUUAUUGUCAUUUUAUCAUACCAAAAGUACUUUUUCAGUUUGGUUAUUAAACAUAUGUUAAAGCUUUACAGCACUUUAAAAAUGUAAUUACCAAACAGCAAAUAGUUUUUUAUAAAAACUCUACUUUCGGAAAGCUCUAUUUCUGAAAAACUCUAAAAGCUUUAUUACCAAUAGCAAUCCUAAACAGGGCCUUAGACUGUCUACUCCAUUCAUAUCUGUAUGACAAUCUGGCAAUAUUUCCAUAUGUUUACGAGUUGAUUCUUGUUGUACUAAUCUAUGUUUAUUAAUCAUGUAAAAAAAUUAUUCCGUAGGUGCAAAGAAGGCACGUGAAGUUGUUUUUAGUGUUUUAUCAACUGCAUGUGAUGAUGGUGAUCUUACAAUUCCUGAGGCCGUGGAAGCUGUUUGGCGCAUCUUUAGACAAAACACAUUGCAACUUUACAAGCUAAAUGGUAUUGUUGAAUCUCAUGAUCACUUAAGAGCCAUAUCUUUCAACAGCACAUCCAAGGUUGGUUCAUUAGAAGAGAAUUUAGUAUUUGUCCGAAUUAUCUGGGCUGAUGCUUCAGGCCAACACAGAUGUCGUGUAAGUUCGUCUUUCCCUCAAAAAAAAUCAGAGAGACACAUGUAUAUUCUUAUUAGGAUUCUUAACAUGUCUUAUUUUCUUGCAUUAUCUUUCAUUGACAAAACUGAAAAGGUCAAUAAUUGUAAACCAAGAGAACAUACUUCUAGCAACAAAUAAAGAAAUUUUAGAAUAGAAAAAAAUGACUCUUAUAGGGGAGACAUCUAAGAAUUGUUUACAGCAUGGUUAUAUCGUGAAAUAGACCUAAAACUUAAGCUAUUGUUGCUGAUGGAAUGACAUGCAGGGGUACCAAAAUAUUAAUUAGCUUUUCAUCUUUAUGUCACGUGAUGUCUUUAUGGCAUGGAAUUGAGGUCUUUAGUAAUCUUUUGCACUUGGCAGAAUCAAGCAUGCUAAUGUUGAAAUCAUUACAUCAGCAAUCUUAGGGGAGCAAAAUAUUACAAAUCAAUACUGAUAUUGAUGCAUAUGCGUUAGAAAUGCUCAUGUUUAUCAGGUUGUACACAACUUUCUUCUAGGCACUUAUGUAAGUUAUGCAUUCAUUGUUGUGCAUGUACCUAUGUUUGUAUAUAUGUUUAUCUUGUCUAUGCAUAUUUUUUAAUAACCUAGGACCUCAUCCAAAAAGACUAGCUGGAAGGUGCUAUAUUUGGUUUCCUUGGUCCUAUAUAAGUACCCAAGAUCUACUCAGUGCAUAACCGAUAUGGGACUAACACACACCUGUACAAGUACUCACAUACUCUCCUUAUUUAAGCCUUGCAUUUUUGCUUGGCUAAGGGUCUAAAUCAAUUCAAAUCUAUAUACAAGUACCGCAACUCUAAGCACAAAUACCACAAUCAUCUCAUGAUCAGCCUAAAUGAGCCCGUGUUGCAGCGUAUCCUAUUCCACAUGAGCCAUAGGUCGGGUAUCAUAUGUCAUAAUCUAGGAUUUCACCCAAAAAAACUAGUCAAAAGAUGUUAUUUAAGUUCCUUGGUCCUGUAUAGUACCCAAAAUCUAUCCAGUGCAUGACUAUUGUGGGCAAGGUUGGCCGCAUCAGUCAAUACUGUACUAUAUCAGGCGUAUCAUACUAGUACUGAACCAAGACGCAGUCUCGUACUGUACGACACUCGGUAUGCCUUGCUGUCUUGUAUUGUACUGCGCAAGAUUUGCUGUUUCGGUACCCAAACCCCGUAUCGGUGCCAUACUAGCAUAGUGUAGGUACGGUACGAUAUGAAUUUUUUUUAGUGUACUGUGUCAAUACGCCACUCAUGCUGAGUACCGGUAUCCAAGGUUCGCCGUCUCGGUACCGGACCCUGUAUCGGUGCCACACUAGCACAGUGUUGGUAUAUUACGGUACGGAAUUUUUUAGCAUACGAAGUGUCGGUACAUCAUCCGUAUCGGAGAGCGGUACCAAAUAGGUAUGGUAUGGUAUACCCUGUACCGCUCGGUUCGGAUCAGUACGACAUACUAUGCCGGUAUCGAACCAGUACGGUAUGCCACAUACCGUCCGGUUCGGGCCGGAUAGCGUACCGCAUACUGAUGUUGUAAUAGGAUGGUAUCGGUAUGAGCUUUGGUACUGAGAUGACGAACCUUGAUUAUGGGACUAAACAUAUAGCUGCAUGGGUGCUCAUAUAUACGAGGAACCAUGGUUCGUUGUAAUUAUUAGCACUUAGCAUGGGUGUGUCUACAUCUUUCCGAACUUUUGUGAUUUGUGACCUAUAAGUUUUUCUUAUGAUACAUAGAAUUAGACUAAUUGAAACAUCUUGACUUAAAACCAGACCUGACUGCCUCUGGACUUUCAUUUUUCACAACAAUCAAUGCAAAAUAACUAUAACAAUGUAGGAUAGUUGCUUAGAGUACCUUAAACUGCAUGCCUGAAUGGGAUACUAUGAAUUAUUGACCACAUUCUAUACCAUAAUACAGCAUGUACAUGAAUAGCUUUUGAUUUUUCUCUCCACUUUUUCAAUUACAUGAUGCUUGAAAGUUGAGCAAAAAUUUUCAUCUUAUAAACUGAUUAACUUUAUCUAUUGCUUAUUCAGGUUGUCCCAGCAAAGCGUUUUUAUGAAGUUGUUAAGGACAUAGGUGUGGGUUUGACUCAUGCAUCGAUGGGAAUGACUUCAUUUUGUGAUGCUCCAGCAGAUAAGACCAAUCUGACUGGUGUGGGUGAGAUCAGAUUGAUACCAGAUUUAUCAACAAAAUAUAGGAUCCCAUGGUAUAGAUAUUUUUUUCCUUUGACAUGUUUCUACUAUAAAUUAUUUGCCUGUUUCUUUAAAUUUCUUUUUUUAGUUAAUAUUUCUGUCCCUGUCAUUAUUUUUAUUAAAUGCAUUUUCAGACUGAAAGAAUAUUAUUCACGUACUAUCAUUCUGAUGAAUGUUAUGUUGCUGCUAAUCUAUAAGAAUGCCAGCUUGAAACCUGAAUUACAUGAAAACAUGAUUAAGGCCUCGUUUGGGGGAGCUUUUGGAGGGCCAAAAAGUAGUUUCUGGCCCUCCAAAAGUACUUUUGGAUGAAAAAGAGUGUUUGGUAAAAAGUUCAAAAAGUUGUUUUAGCUUUUUUAGAAGACUCAAAAUAGCUUUUUGGAAGAAACUCCAUUUUGGAGCUUUCUGAAAAAGCUAUUUUGAGUUAUCGAAAAGUUAUUUUUUUGACCAAAAUACUCAUAAUAAAAUAUAACAAUUAUAUAUUUUGUCUCUUUAUAAACCUAAAAAUCUGUUGGAGCCCUAACAAGGAAUCCUAGUCGUGGAUCAGGCUCCCUUCUAUGCAAGAAAAGGUAUUCUUGUUUCCUAUUAUUAUUUUAUACCUUUAUUAUUGUCUUAUACUAUAAAUAUAAUAUUAUAUUACAUUAUAUCAUAAUACAUUAAUAUGUUAUGUUAAAUAAUUUAAUAUUAUGUUAUAUUAUGAAAAAUUAAUGUACGCUAAUAAUUAUAAUAUUUUGUACCUUUAUUAUUGUAUUAUACUAUAAAUAUAAUAUUAUAUUAUAUUAUAUCAUAAUACAUUAAUAUGUUAUGUUAAAUAAUUUAAUAUUAUAUUAAAUUAUUAUGCUGUAGUAUACAAUAUUAUAUUACUAUAUUAUAAUAAUAUUAUAUUACAUUACAGUAAUAUUAUACUAUAUCAUAUAUUUAUAUAUUAAUAUAUGUUAUAUUUUAUUAUGCUUUGUUGUAUAAUACUAUGCAAUGUCCUUUAUGGUAAUUUUGUCAUACAAAAGUACUUUCUCAGUUUGUUUACCAAAUACAUGUUAAAAUACCACAACACUUUAGAAAUGUAAUUACUAAACAACAAACAGCUUUUUAUAAAAGCUCUACUUCAGAAAGCUCUACUUCCAACAGCUCUACUUCCAAAAGCUCUACUACCAACAACUCCCCGAAACAGGGCCUAAGCUGUAAUAUUAUGAUCUGAUUUAUGUAUACCGAUAUUACUUGCAUAAUAUUAGGGCAUGUCAUUGCACAUCUAUGUCACAUCUAUGUUACUACACAUGGUUCUAAUAUUAUUGAGUGUGUAAUGAUUCUAAAAUGAUGCUUUUUGAAUGAGAGAUAUUUUGUUAGUCAUUUUAUUCAAAUUCAAAGCUAUCUUUCGGCUUAAUAGGGCAAGACAAGAGGAGAUGGUAUUGGCUGACAUGCACAUAAAGCCUGGUGAAGCUUGGGAAUAUUGUCCAAGAAAUGCCUUACAGAGAGUCACAAAAAUAUUGAAAGAUGAAUAUGAUCUGGUGCAUAUAGAAGCUUUUCAGUCAAAUAUGCACUUUAAUCUUCAUUUUGCUUAUAUUACCCAGUUUUUCUUAAUGUGUAGGUUGUAAAUGCAGGCUUUGAAAAUGAGUUUUAUCUCCUCAAAAAUGUUGUAAGGUAUAUUUUUCAGUUAGUUCUUUUACGCUCAAAUGUUUGCCCUCGUUCUGGGUCUUAGAUCAAAGAACAUGUGCAGAGAAGGGAAAGAACAAUGGGUCCCAUUUGAUAUGGGCCCCUACUGUUCUACUUCAGGAUUUGAUGCUGUAUCUCCUAUUUUACAAGAAGUAAAAUCUGCUCUUGAAUCCAUGGAUAUUUCAGUUGAGCAGGUAACAAUAUAUAUCCAUCAUGUUUAUUUUCUUUUCUUUGCUAAUAAUAUGCUAUGUCUACCUCACAAAUUGUGCUUAUAGCCUUUCAAUUUCAACUGGAUAAGUUAAAUUCUUUGAACUUUAAAGGAUAAAUGGAAUAUUUUCUUGGCAACUCAAGUGCUUUAACUGUCGAGUAAAAUUUGCACUGUGUUGAGGGUUCUUCUGAAGCACGAUUGAAUCAUUUCUAAAUUCUAUCAUGCAUCUUGAUUAAGCCAAUGUUGCUCAACAGCCUGAGUAAAUUUAUCUUGCAGUUCAUUUUGACAAUUGUGAUAUUCCAACCUAAUGAUGAACUCUAGCUACAGAAUAGCCCAGGAUAAGACCUUUUGUUAGGGCACAAAACUAAAUGAAGGAAUCAAUGGGAGUUAUUGGGAAAAAAAUUAUACAAAAUGGUAGUCACCUACGAAGAAAGAAUGACUAUUAUGUUUUGGUUAUAUCAAAAUUUUUUAUUACAAUUAAGAAGCAAAUUCAUGAUUCAUAUGCUAAUACGUCGUUUGUGCGGUUAUGUUGCUUCUGGUUCUUGCUGGUGCUUCUUAAAUCAUAUAGCUUGUAUUCUGAUAAUUCAAUUGUUCUUUGUUAAUAUAUGUGAUCAUUAAUUAUCUUAAUUGAAGCAAUCAUAUUCACUAUCAUCUAUGACAUUUUGUAUAUGCUUGAAGUGUUGUUACCUUUGAUAUUGUAUCUGAAAUGUACCUUUUCUCCCUGGUCACUUAAGGUAGCCUAUUAGUGUUUAUAUAUUUUAUUAAACCUUUGUUGUCAUGACAGCUACAUGCAGAAUCUGGAAAGGGACAGUUUGAAGUAGCAUUGGGGCAUACAACUUCGAAUCUUGCAGCUGAUAAAUUGAUCUAUGCUAGUGAGGCUAUCAAGGCUAUUGCUAGAAAGCAUGGAUUAUUAGCAACCUUUCUUCCAAAGUAAGUUUGUGCUCCCUAUCAUUGUUGAAGGGUAAAGGAAAGAAAUGAUCAAAUUAUAAGGUGAAUCCUGUUCUGACUUUUUAUGCAAUAGGUUCUAGCAUAUCACUAUAUAAGUGAUAAAAAUAAUGUUAAUAUGUUGCAGAUGCUAAGAUAAUGUUAAGGGACCAUGCAAGAUGACAUGGGUAUAAGCAAGAAAGAUUAGAGCAUUGUUUGAGGAAAAUGUAAAAUUCAAAUUGAAGGUAAUGCAAAGAACCAGAGAUGUAAUCAGUAGCAGACUGAAUUGUAUUAUCUGGAGUCUGGACAUAUGACACUGAUGUCGAGUGUUAGCGUCCAGAAAUGUUUGGAUAGGGGAUCUUUCAAAAGAUCGGACAUUGUGACAUGCCCAUAUUAUAUUAGAUGUGUCCUUAAGAAUGUAUAAAUAAAUGUAUAAAAUAAAUAUAUAUUUUUUGGAUCAACUGCUUUGUAAUUUCAUAGAAUUCAUAAAACCUUGUCCUUGUCAAAUGUUAUAUUAGACUUGAAAAAUUAAUAGGUAUAGGUGCCUGUAUUCUGAAAUUUCCGAUGGUAGAUUUCCAAAUUAUAACUACUAAUCUUGGCAUCUUCUUUUCAUCUCUUGCUAUUCCCAUAGGUACUACUUGGAUGAUAUUGGCUCUGGAUGCCACGUGCAUUUAAGUUUGUGGCAGAAUGGCAAGAAUGUUUUCAUGGGAUCCGAGGUACCGACUACUCAAUAUGGAAUGUCAAAAGUUGGGGAACAGUUCAUGGCAGGAGUUUACUAUCAUCUUCCUUCAAUCUUAGCAUUUACAGCUCCACUUCCAAAUAGGUGACAUUUCCCUUAUUCAAUGAUUUUCUUAACCAGGGAUGAUAUAUUUUUAGUAAUACGAAUAAUUGAUGUCACAGUUGUAUGGUGAUAUACUUAAGUGCUUGUCGAGCCUCUAUGAGCUGUUCUUUACUGCUAUUGAAGAUUACAUCUUUGAAAUAUAUUUCUAUACACUAUUUAUUUUUGUAUUACUAUUUCUAUUUAGAGCAAAAAAUGAUUGGCGAUUGGUUGAUAAGCAAUGGGCAGUGCUUUAGUUGGUCCGUCAAGCAUUGAUUGCAUUCGUUACGCAUUCAUCGUGAAAGUAAAAGUUGACUUCGUAAGGCUAUUUAGUUAAUGUGUAGAUUACUUGAGGAAUUAAAAACAGUCCCUACGAUUAUUAAAGAUAACUAUAAGGAAAAAGAAUAACUAAAAGAUAAAAUGCAAUUUAAGAAAAGAUAACUGAAGGAUAAAGUUAUUAUUUAUAAGAGGCAAAAAGACCUUAAAGCAUCUGGAUUGUGGGUUGGAUGGGUUGUUGGGAGGGGGUACAAAAGAUAAUAGUUUUCUAAUUUCUUUUCCAAGAUUAUUUUCUUAUUUUCUUUUUAUAUAUAAAGGGAAGGAAGAUCAUGCUUGUGAAAAUUUCCAGGUCCAAAUUAUUGAGUAGGCAUAUUCCAAUAAUUGGACCAAGAAUCUCCUCCAAACAAAGGAGAUGUAUGACCAUUGGGGAUUGCCCGGUGCAACCAAUGUGUUCACUUGCUACUUUUAUGUCUACUUACUACCAACUUUCCGACAUAAUCUCCAAUUGCCAUGUACCCUCUCUAAACAUUUCCUUAUUUAAUCUUCAUGGACCACAUAUAUUUGUCCAUCGCUCCUUACCACAUAUUUAGGGGAAAUAACGUGCUUUGAACAAUUCUCAACUUCUAUGAUCUUUCUAAUAAAAUUUUAUGCUAGGUUACACCCAUGCAUGCGAUGUAAGCCACUCUUGUUGCCUCUCUUAAAGACUCUUUGGAUUGAGAUGUUUAUCAGUCAAUGUCUUAGAAUUAAAGAAAACAUUUCGUUUUGCUUCAUGAGCCUUCUAGGUGUUAUCUAAAUUAUGAACCUUUUUUUUUUUGCAUAUGGGCUCUCAAAAGUUUUGAUUUGCGCGCAUGAUUCUGUAAUUAUGCAUUUUGCCUGUAAGCCAGUUCAUAUAUAUGCACUAAUUCUCUUUCCAUUUGCUACCAUUAGUGGUUGUCAGCCAAACAGUGAACAGAAUCAUCUUAUCAUGGUUAAAGGUUAAGUUUGAAUGGUAUGUUGGAGAUGGUAUGUGUCAUUUUGCCAGUAAAGCUAGUUUAGCAGCUAGUUAACCACAAGGGCAUUUGUGCAAAAUAAAAAAUAUUUGAAAAGGUAAUUAUGCCGAAGGCAAAGUUCCAGGGCCAUCAUGCAAAAUUGAAACUCCCGUGGUUAAACAUGCAAAAAUUCAUAUAGUCCUGAAUGGGAAUGCUUGAUGAAUGAAAAUCCAUGUAGCCGAGCCCAUAUAGUUGGACCAAGGCCUGAUGGUUAUGGUUAUGACGGACUUUUAUUGUUGUUUAAAAUUUAAAUUGGUGGUGGUGCCUUCUUAUAAUUGCUUCUAUACUGAAUUGAAACCUUCUUUUCAUGUUUGUCAUAGCACAUUGUUCAUUGUAAGAAGUGUUAGGGGUGUAAAGGGGGGCCACAAAUCUUUAGUCCUAUACUGCUUGAGUAGUGGAAAGGAUUGUGCUUAUAAGGGGUCUCCAUUCCCUUUCUCUUGUGAGAUGCCGUUUGGACAAAGCCAUGAGGGAUAUCUUCCGUCCUGGAAAGGCAGGGGGACUCUCCAAAGCGGACAAUACCUUGUGACGGGACGCAACCCCUUUUUCUGCUCUAACAGAUAGGGCGCCCUGAGUGCGUGGACCUCCUCCCGCACAAUCCGUUCCACUCGGGGGGAUAGUGUUAGGGGUGUAAAGGAGGACCACAAACCUUUAGUCCCAUAUUGCUUGAGUAGUGGAAAGGAUUGUGCUUAUAAGAGGUCUCCAUCCCCUUUUCCUUGCGAGGCGCCUUUUGGACAAAGCUGUGAGGGGUAUCUCCCAUCCUGGAAAGGCGGGGGGGACUUUCCAAAGCGGACGAUACCUCGUGACGGGACGCAACCCCUUUUCCUGCUCUAACAAGAAGCAUCACGAAAAUUGCUUAUAUAUCUUUUAAUAAAGGCGAAACAAGAUAAAAGUACAUUAGAGACCAAAUUUCUAUGAGUAAAGCUGAUCUUCAACAAGUAUAUAUGAAAUUAGGGCAUAAGCAAAAAAAUAUGAUGGGUAGAAGGAAAUUCUACUUGAUCAAAGCACUAACAAAUGAAAAUUAGAAGCUCAUUACAUUAGGCUCAUCCAAUAGGUAUGUGGUAAGAUAGCAAACCUCAAUGUAUCAUCGACAUAACUUCUUCCAUCUUGAAUUAUAUUUCCCAACAAUGUUAAGUCCAUUUUAUAUGGCGUGAUCUUUUAUUUUUGGUCACCAACUUGAAUGAAGCCAUCAACAAGGGCAUGAUGAACUAAGAACUUAGGAGAAUUUUAAAGGAUAAGGUUCUAACUGUGCAAUUAGAUAAUUUGCAUAUAAUGUUAGUGGUUAACAUCUACAUGUCAAGGUUGAGGUAGAAUGACAAUUACAUGAUACCUUCAGCUUCUUUUGAUUACAUUAGAUCUAUUUUUCUAAGUAUAUGAUCAUGGGACAAUAUGAAAAUAUUUAACGUAGCAAUAUUUUAGAGCAGCAAGUACAAAAAUUGAUUUCAAGUGGCAUCAUGUGAUAAUGUUUCUUAGUACCAGACCUUGUACUUGUAAGAUACUGGUAUGGAUUAGUAUGAUACGGUAGACCCCUAUACCAAGUACCAACACAUGGUACAAUGUUGGAGUCAGUACAAAACCUGUAUCAUGUGUUGCUAUAGCAUAUGCUAAACCUCCAGCUGUACCAGUACCAUACUGAGUUGGUAUGGUAUUCCCCGUGUCUGCUAGCAUUGGUCAAUGCUUAAAACCUUGUUGUAUGAUACUUCAAAUAGGGGUUUCCGCCAGAGUCUAUGAUGCAUCUUUGAAGAAUUUUCUGUUUUUACAAGUCCUGCGUGGAGACUUUAUAUAUAACAAGACUUGCUCGUCUGUUCAUUAUUUACUAAUUUUCUCAUGUUUCAGGCUUUCUGUUAUCAUUAUUUACUAUUUUUCAAUUAACCUUUCAACUCUGACUGGAUCCAUGGACAGUUGUCCGUGAUUUGUUUAGAGCACAUUUUCGUUAUGUCAUAUAUGUCCAUGAGAUUGUGAGCACAACAUACAUAGUAUGUUAUGUAUGUGAAUGUUUAAAGUGUGAGUUUGUGCACACUUCUAUUAGAAGCAUAAUAUACAAUUUACUCCAUGUAAUUAUGGUUUGCAGACUGUGUUGAGAAUAAUUUGAGUCUGCAUAUGUGUAUUUUGUUUGUUUAUAUGGCACCAAAUGCUUUUAUGGGGUAAUUUUAUUUUAAAUGUAACCUUCUUGGAAGAUUAUAUCAAACAGGAGUUGUAUAUGGUAAUUUUGGUGGAUAUUAGAUUGCCUUGUAUUGCAUGCUUUUGAAUUUCAAAAUUUGUUGAUUUUCUUUAUGCUGGGGUAUGUUGUAUUACAUAGUUUAUUCUGAUGCUUUAAAUAAUUUGAAUGUGUUUUAUGUAGUUAUGACCGGAUUCAACCAGAUACAUGGAGUGGAGCAUAUCUUUGCUGGGGAAAAGAAAACAGAGAAGCUCCAUUGAGGACUGCAUGCCCCCCUGGUGUGCCUAAUGGGCUUGUAAGCAACUUUGAAAUCAAGUCCUUAGAUGGGUGUGCAAACCCUCACUUGGGUCUAGCUUCAAUAGUUGCUGCUGGGAUUGAUGGCAUUCGGAGAAGUCUUACCUUGCCUGAGCCUAUUGGUAUGAGUUUAUCACAAUGCAUACCCAAAAAAAUAUUGUGUUGAGACCAAAAUUAUCUUGUGACAGUGACUCUCUCUCGAUACACAUGACAAAAAAAGUGGCCAUUGUCUCAUAUUAAUCAUAAAGCAUACAAUUUUCUUUGUCCUGCUUACAAUAAGAUUACCAUAUGCAUUUCAUGCAUCCUAAAGAAAUUUGAAUACUGUUACUCAAACCAAACCGCUCUCUUGAUCCUAAAAGUGUUUUAGGGUUUUCAAUGACGAUCUUUACUAGUAAGAAUCCUAUUCAACUAUUAUGGAUAUGCGCUCAUGAGCAUGCGUUAGCAAGGAGAAUGUCCACUGGAACUUCUCUCUGUCGUUCUCUCUCUCUCUCUCUUCAUGGGUACACCCCAUAAGGGCCUCCCCUCAACCCUAACAUCAAGUAUGGAUUCUCAGCUAUAUGUUUCUUCCAGCUCCCCACCCAUGGUGUGGCUUGCAAGCAGCAGCAGCAGCAACAGCUGAGCCUCUCCGCAGUCUGUGGCAUACAGCAGGGAAGCAGGCUGCAAGUUUACUGCCUCCCAGCCUCAGAUGGAACCAUUUCAGCCAGAAAAGAUAAUAACAGUAGAUGAAAUGAUCAGGAGAAAAAAGAGUAAAAUAAAACAUUGGUCUCAGAUUUUUCUUCUUAAAUAAGAAACUUGAAACUAUGUGAGAGUGGUGAAGCCAGUACUAUAAAAGUAGCUGAAAGCCAGGUAUAACACACGAUGGAAAAGCAUACUGUGCACCUUGGUGGCACAUGCAGGUGCAAUUUUCUUUUACAAUAAAAAUAGCAUAUACAGGAAUUUGGGGUCACUUGGUGCAUUGAUUUAUUGCAUUAGUCUCAUCUUUCAACUCCAGUCAGUCCUCUAGUCAAAUUGUGCUUCACCUAGACAAACCCUCCCUAGAGUUUCUCCCACACUUCUAAAAUAAGACUACUUUGAUGCGACCAAGAUAGGAUGGCUCCUACUACUAACAGGUUUAAACCUUUGGGCAUGGCCCCAGGAUUUCUUGUCCUACAAGGAGUAGUGGCUGGACUAUAAUGAAAUGUGGACCUAAAAAGUCAUGCCUCACAAUGUGAGAUGUACGCAUUGGGCAUUCUCAUAGGUCUGGGGUCAUAAAUAGCAUCCAGAAAUCAUCCAAGUUUGUCCAAAAUGUUUGAAAUAAGAUGGUUCACAUAUAAUUGAACAAUCAUUUGCACUCGGGUUCCUUCAUUAUAAAAACAUGUAGCAUCGGUCCUUGAUAAUCUGUUGUGAACCUUAUCUAACUUGGCCAAAAUAUCUUAUGUUUAUGUUAAUCAGAUACCGAGGUUUGAUUAUAUACUAGAGAAACCAAGGUUUGUCAUCUCGGUAUCAGACCCUAUAUUGGUACCAUGUUGGUAUUGUGUCGAUACGCUUGGUACAGAGGUCGGUUCGGGGUAUUGAGAUUUGAUAUGCCCUCUGUAUCAAGUAUCAAUUCGGUACUGGUGUGGUGCAUCAUGCCUGAUCUACUAGUAUGGCAAACCUUGGGAGAAAUAGUGGAUAAUCAUAAUAAUUUGUUUCCAAGGUUUGUUUAGACAUUCUAGACACACUGUCUAAGAAAAAUGUUGUAUAGUACAAAUAUGCGCCAUCUUUUACCCCUUUAAGAAUCCAGUCAGAGUACAUCUGUUAAAUUAUUAUUUUUUUAGAGAAGGAUAUAAAAAUUUUAUUUUUCUAAGCAAGGUUUGCUAUACUAGUGCAUACCUUCCUAUAUUGGUUCGGUGUACUGAGGCUUGAUAUGAGGCCUGAGUCUCAGUACACCGAACCAACCCCCAUACUAGCAAUACCAAUACAAUACGACAUGGUGUUGGUACGGGUUUCAAUACUGAGAUCGGAAAUCUUGGCUCUAAGCAUUCCGAAUUACUGAUAGAGCUUCACUACUUGAAUAUAUUUGAGGAUGGUAAUGUUAUCAUUCUCAUUUGACAACUAGCCAAUAUUAGAUUUUGAUUAUUUUAUCAAUUAUUUUGACUAUUUUAUCAAUUAUUUUGACUUAUUUAAAAAUUAUCCAUAGUUAGGUCAUGGAUACCUUAUUGAACGAUCUUGCAAACCAAGUGGGCCAAUUCAAACAUCAUGACUUGCUGCAUGCAGCCUAGCCAUCAAAGUGUCAUUGGCUAAAACUGGCACCCAAGAAUCCCUCAGGUUGACAACUUGGUAACCACAAUCAUUUAGAUUAGGUGCCACAUCUUACUCCUACAACCACUUCCUAAACAUGCUUAACUUUUUUGAUAGUGUUGUCAACUUCCUCGCUCUCCCAUGCCUGCUUCAGUUCUACUAUCACACUCAUCUUAACUCCAAUAACUAAGGUCAACAGCAUGCUGAGGACCAUACACGAGAACUUAAUCUUUCCUGAUAGUGUGGUUUCAACCAAACUUGCUCUCAACUCUGGUUAAUGUGUUACAAAGCUUCCAAGUGGUGGUGCAGCUUUCUAAUCUGGCAACUGGACAUUCAUUACCAUCUUAUCUCAUCACCAUAAACAGCAACAGACGAGACUCCCAAUUCUCUCUAGUGAGGAUAGAAUUAAGGAACAGCAAAAUGUUCUCUUAUGAAUUCACAAUUCGAUCAAGAGGGUAUCCUAUAAUGCUCGUCUUAUGCUAGCGUGUCAUUCAAUUAAUUAACAUCUAAUUGCUAAAUCAUCCUAUUGGUACCAUAUAAAUGUCUCAAGCAACAAAUGGUUGUUGGCUUUUCUAGGGUAUUGUCUUCAACAGUGAUGAAAUAUAUUGGGUAUACAUGCAUACAAUAUGACAAGAUACAAGCAGGUCUCUGAAAACUUGUUUUCUUGCACGCCCACAUUCUAUUUUUGAUACUGUUUUUGCAAAUUUAUGUUACAUAUUCCUAAGAGAUGUUGCAUACUUUCAUGAGUACUUCUAGUUUCUAUUAUACUUUAUUUGUUUAGCUAAGUUUGCAUGAUCACAUUUACUAGUAGUUUACAUUUUCUUGGAUUUACUAACCAUUUGUCGUUUGAGUUUCAAGAGGAUAUAGCUAGUGAACAUUAUUUUCUGUUUAACACUUAGUAAUUAAGAGGCCCAGCAUGAGAAUUUUUUCUAAAUUAUUUUAUGGCUUGUUCUACUCUUGUCAGUGCUUGUGUCUUCAAAUUUUUGAAGUUGUGAUUUCAUUUCCAUGAUAGAAGCCUCAUAUUAGAUAUGUUGAGUUAAGAACCACCUCUUUUAUUGCAUGUGGUGGAGAAAAAAGGGUAUCAUAACCUGAAAAAUGGUAAAACUACAUUCCUCUUAGACUAACAAAUUGUUUGUACUUGCAGAUGUUUUUUUCAUAAACUUAGUGAACAUUAAUUUUUGACUUUUAUGUCUCUCUCUUAUGCAACCUCAAACAUUACAUUUAUUGUCAGUUCAAAAGGAGAAUGACAAUAGGACUAUCUUAUUAACUGACAAAUUUCUUUUUUUACUGAUGGAACAGAAACGAAUCCUUCUUUUCAUGGUUCAAAACUUAGAAGGUUGCCAAAAGAAUUGGGUGAAUCUAUAGAAGCACUUUCUGGGGAUGAGAUUUUGAAUAAAUUAGUCGGUGAAAAACUUGUAACUGCUGUUAUUGGGAUUCGCAAGGUAAGCUCUUGGAAGUAUUUUCCUUCAUCUAUUAAUAAGCUUUUCAAGCCAAGUAUUAAUCAGUUUAAUGUAGUCAGACUUAUAAACUAACUCAAAAAUUAGCAGACAUUGCACAAUGUAAUGCUAUUCUUACAUGAACGUAUAUCAAUGUUAGACAUUUGUCCAAAAAAAUUAGUCAUUUUGCUUUAAUUGAUCCCAAAAUAAUCAUAUAUUUGUAACAAACAUAAAAGUUCUGUCAUGGAUCAUAAAGAGAUGUGCUCUGUGUAGGACUAGGUGGCAUGAGAUUUAGCUUGGAUUGGUGUUUGGAGAGGUCCUAAAGGAAAUCUCAUAUGGGGAUAAUUAAGAUUUGAUGAGACCCACAGUUACAUGGUUCAAUUGAUUGCUUGUUUUGGUUGGAUUUGAGAUUUGAGUUUCAAUUUUUGAUAAAUCCAAGUUCAUGAUGGGGUGAGCAAGUAUUCUUCCAUUCUAUUGGCUUAUUUCUUAUAACUUUUUUGUUCCAUAGAGGAAAGAGGAGGGGGGGGGGGGGGAGGGGAGGGAGGAGGGGAGAGAGAGAGAGAGANNNNNNNNNNNNNNNNNNNNGGGAGGGAGAGGGGGAGGAGAGAGAGAGAGAUUGUCUAUUGCCCUAGCUGGAAGAUUCAUGGUCCGUCAUGUACACAGAAAAUCAGCACGAACAAUCAUAACAUACAACACCCGUAAUGGUCAGAAACAAAAUUUUGAAGUUUUGCAGGUUUUUAACCAUCCAUCAAGUAAUCACAAUUCACAUUUUUUAGUUACAGUAUUAGUCAUCGUGUCAAACUUAUGGUAGGCUAUAUAAUUAAGGAUCCCAAGGGCUUACUUGUUCCUCACAUUUCUGUCAUUUUGAGUGUUUCCAAACCAUAAAUCAUAUCAAAACAUUUCUUUACCAUUGGAAAAAUGGCUUGCGGAAAUUAGUGCAUAGGAAAGUAACCGCAGAACAUUGUUUUAUUUUUUAAAAAAUAUUUUUUAAAUCUUUGGAGUUUGGACUAUAAGUAAUGGUAUGGUUUAUUUAUCCAGCAGGCACAGCAUAUAUUUUCAUCAAGUUGGAGGCUUUAACUUUUUUCCAUAGAUUUGUAGAUCUGUCUUCUCUCAUUCUUUUUCUAUGUUUUCCUAUCAUCUUAUAAUUCAUAGCCAGUAUUAGGUUUUAUAGAAUGCAUUCAAAAUAAGGUGAAUUGAGUGGUGAGUGGCCAAUAUCCCCGUAGGAUGGCCUUACAUGAAGUUAUGAGUUUCAAAGUUGCCAUGGUAAUCAUGUUGCUCUUUAUUUAGAACUCUGUGAUAAGCAUCAAUUAUGAGACUGGAUUUUGGACAAUUAUUACCAUUUCAACUAGCAUGCUUCUAAUUAUUAGGAAAAAAGACAACAUGCCCUUUGUUGUUUUCUGUCAUAGUGUGCAUCUUUUCUGGACUACUCCAGUAACAUUGAAACCGUUCCCAACCCAACAAGUUCUUUUCUUAAGUUGUGUUAGUACAACAUCUUCCUUCAAAUAUCCAUACAGAAAUCAAACAGUCCAUUUAUUACAGGCCCACCUCUUUGUAAUGACUCAGUUAGUUAAUGCUGACAUUAACUGGAGGAUGUUAUCUGGAAUAUGAUGAACUUAGAAAAAAAAGUAUGCUUCUGAAUAAUAGAGAUGUGACGGACUUCAAAAAUACAACCAUAAAUUUCACUGCAAGUACCAUUUAUAUUUCCUGGACCUUUACCUAAAGCCCCCUCUGACACUUAAACAUAGGUUUUUAAGAAGAAACUUUUCGAUAUUUAAAAGAUCCACACUAUUUUGAGGAACACAAGAUUUCUCGUAGAAACUCAAAAUCAAACUAAAAAUAGUGCAACAAUGAAUUUAUCACUGUGAUGAUAAAUUUGAUACACGUACUGAUAAAGAUGUCCUAUCUUCCAAGAUUGUGCUCUCUCUCUCUCUCUCUCUCUC